Rattus norvegicus (Norway rat) is the source of this 72926-nucleotide non-coding RNA. The record is from RefSeq and is a predicted model, not a curated record. Lineage: Eukaryota; Metazoa; Chordata; Mammalia; Rodentia; Muridae.
GGUUCAUUUCCUGUGACAUCACAAGGGAUCACUGUGAGGUAUGCUACAUACCAUCCCAAAGAGCCAAUGCCUGAGCCUGAGGUUUGACUUUAUGCUUCAGAGAAGCAGUUGGUUGGUGAAGGAGCAAUUGGACGCACUUGUAACUAAUAGACUUGGACUUUCCCCACCGAUUCUUCCUCAACAUAAGGAGUUUGCUUCAAGUUUUCAAUUUGGCUCAUGAAAUGCUACCCCCGUUGAAGGAAUCAGAGAAAGAACUGGAAGAGCUUGAAGGGGCUCGAGACCCCAUAUGUACAACAAUGCCAAGCAACCAGAGCUUCCAGGGACUAAGCCACUACCUAAAGACUAUACAUGGACUGACCCUGGACUCUGACCUCAUAGGUAUCAGGUCAACUUUUAAAUGAGAGUUUUGCACUGUCAUACCUCAUUACACCUGAAUAUGGUGGGAUAAAGCAAACACGACUGAGACAUAAAGAGGAACAUCGUUGUCAUGAAGAAGAAAUGAUCCGACACAGAGAACUGGAGGGACUGAGGCGACAGCAGGAGGGUUUUAAACCACACUCUAUGGAACAUUGAGAACAGGACAUGAAGAUGCAUGAUAUGGGUCCCCGUGGAGCAAUAAACAUGGGAGAUGCAUUCAGCAGAGCACUUGCUGGUACCCAAGGAUGGCUCCUCCAAUGAUGGGUCUUGUACAGGUAACCACAGCUACUGCAAGUAUCAAAAUAAAAAGCCAAGCCAGAGGUGUAGCUCAGUGAUACGGCAUUUUCUACCAUACUCAGAACUGUAGGUGAGUCCCAGGUAAGGAAACAAAAAAAAUUAGCAUUAUUUUUUACAUUAAUUUUCUUUAGGCCCCUCAAAAUGGUUCAGUGAGCAAAAGACUUUUCACUGAGCCCGAGGACCUUGAAAGCCAGAACGCGUAUGGGUGAUAAUAUUUAUCAGUUGUCCUGUGACCUUCAAUGUAUACGAUACUAUGCAUACAUACACAAAUACCUAGAAAAAAUAAAAGUAAAAAUAAGUUACUUCAAUUUAAACCAUUUUUAGUUCACAGUAUUGUCAUAAUCUUAAAAUCAUACCACAGACCCCAAUAGUUUGGUCCUGGUGGAAUUUUGGGAGACAAUGAUAAAUUAAUCUGUUCCUACAUUUCAAAAUAUAUCUUGUUUGAGUAAGCCUUAGAAGGCUAAGAAAUUUUCCACAUUAGUAGAGUGCUUGCCUAGCAUACACAAGACACUGGUUUAGAGCUACAGGAGUUCAUAAAUUGGGCAUCAUGUGUACAGAACUUAAAAGAUGAAUGCAAAAGGCCUAGUGAUUCAAGACAUUUCUGGGCUGUGUACAGUUCACUCACGAACAGCCCAGGACUAUGGGAGAACCUGUGUGCAAAACAAACAAACAAAAAUAUGCAACAGAAUAAAGGAAGUCUCAUGCAUGCCAUCCAUUUAGAUAUGAUCUAUUAUCGUUAACUACUUGCAAUGUUUGGACUAGCUUAAUGCACAGGCAAGUCUUUAAGUGGAGUCUGAUAUAGAGACAUAUAUGCCUUUGGUUAACAGUGCUGCCGUUGCUCGAAUGGAGUUCCUGUACAGUAUACAGAGUAAGGGCAAUCUUAAAAGUGCCAUUUUAAUUUCCUGGACUACACAUUAUUAUCCUUUUGAAAUUCCAAUCCCAUGACUUCAAAGAGCAACGCAUCAUGCAUUUCUAUAGUUUGCAAUGCAAUUGUUUCUCACACACACAAUCAACACACACAGGUGUUGGUUGACAAUAUAUACUGAGUUAGCAUGCAUUUGACUUCUUUUCCAUGAACUUGAGCACUGUUCAAAUUGGUUGUCCUCGGGUUUCUAUGGGCUCUCAAUGCAUACAUACAGAAUAGAAUGAUUGAAAUUCAUUCAGUUUAUGUCCUUAUGAUCCACUAAACUUAAUAUUUUGAUUUUAUUUUUUUAACAUAUUCCCUUGGAACACACUUUACACGUUCGUUUUGCAUUUUAAGUGUAAGCUCAAAGCAACUAGGAGGAGCUGCAACUCCAUGGUAACAGGAGUCUGGGCUGAGAGCUUCAUCAGUAAGAAGCCAUUUAUAAAAAGGAUGUUUUAUGCAUUCAUUUUAGGGUACCAGUUAUUAUUUUACCUGCGUCUCAAGUAUUGCUACUGGAUAUUCUACACACCACACAGAUUCUGUCAGUAUUCUUAAUGGUUAUCAUUGUGUAAUUAUAAUCAUCUUACCUUACUAUGCAUCAGAGAUUUAGCCCGAUUCCUACUGGACUAAUCCAAUACAGUCAUAACACAUUAAUUUUUUGUUUGCAUCUUUUGUUCCAGAUAUGAGAAAACCUAUUAUUUAAUUUUUGCUUAGGCUGAUUACAUAUGUUUAGUUAUAUGUAUAACCAGUUACCCAUUACUCCAUGAUUUUUUUCAAAGCUAGCAUUACAAAAUGGCCAUUUGGAUAUUGUAAAAUGUGAUAGCUGGUCAUUUUUUACAUAUAUAUGUCAUGUACACACAUGUGUGUAUGUGUUCUCUUAUAGUCAAAUACAGAAUAAAAAUAGCUUUGUAUUUAAAUUUAUUGAUAAUAAGAAAAAUGGUUUUUUAAUCUCUUUAAAUAUCAAAUUACUUCUUUGGAAAAAUCAUGCAUGAUUUGAGAAGUAAGGUCCAUAACAAUGGGGGAGGUGUGACAGCAGUUGGUCAGACAAGGAAAGGGGAAGAUCACAUUUUCAGCCUCAUAGAGGAAAAAAGGAAGAAUCCCAAAAGGGAGCAAGGUUCUAACUCUCAGUACCCAUUCUCAAUGACGUACAUUCUUUUGUAGGACUCCACAUCCAAAUAUUUCUACAGCCUCCCCAAAUGGUGACACCAAAUGGAGAACAAGUAUUCAAAUAAAAAUAUCUAUGGGGGAUAUUUCUCAUUCAAGCUAUCACAGAUGGAAAGAGCUUGUAUUGUUUUUGGAGUUACUAGGGCUUCCCAAUGAAAACACACAAGGUAAAGUCACACAACUGGCAACAGAGCUUUUUAUUAAAAUCCAAGAAUUCUAGAACGACCCUUUCCCUGGACUGUAAACUUUUCCUUUAAAAUUAACUUAGCUUACAAGAGUUGAAUUCUAUGUGAGUUUUUCCUACUCCCUUAAUUUUACUUAAUGCUCCUCCUUACCCUUUUAUCUGUCCCCAAGCAACUUGUAAAUUGCUUUUGGUACAAUAAUCAUUUACACAAUAUGAAUUCUAUCAAUCCAUGAUCAUGGUGUUGCUCUCUGACUUCUACUGUCUUCCUCCUUUCUCUGGCUUUUUCCAAGUUUUACUUACAGGGGUCUUUCCCCUACUUUGUUAGGCUUAUUCUAGAGUACAUUUUUGAGGAGAAGGUAAGUGGGAUUAAUUUCCUUACUUUUUACUCAGUGUGCUUGCCACUGAUAUACAGAAAGCUACUUAUUUUUGUAUGUGAAUUUUCAUUCUAUGACUUUGCUGACCAGAUUAUCCAAUUCUAGGAGGAUUAUUGUUCUGUUUUAUUGAUGGAGUAUUUAGGGUCUCUUCCAUACAGCAUAAUAUUUGCUACAAAAAGAAAUCCUUUCAUUUAUUCAUUUCCUUUUUGUAUAGACUUCAUUGAAUUUUUUCAUAACUGUGCAAAAAAAAAAAGAAUAAAGCCCCCCCACUCACUCACACAAAUAAUCAAGCAUUACAUUAUACAGAGAAUUUUGUCUUGCUAUUAUCUAAUAAUAGUUUUAUAUUAAUUACUAUUCUAUUUUUGUGACAAAAUGCUAUAGCCAAUGAAAUUUACCAAAGAAAGUGUUCAAUUAGUCUUGCAGUAUCAUAGAAUUAGCGUCCAGGUUGGUAGAACAAAGGCAUGAAAGGCGUGGUAGCAGGACUAGCUAAGAGCUUAAAUCCAUAAGCGGGAGUAGGAGAACGAUCAACUGGGAAUGUUAUGAGUCUUUUGAAUCCUCAAAGCUCAGCCUCAGUGACACACAACUCAAAAAAGGCCACACCACCUAAUCCUUAAACAACUCUACCAAAUGCAAACUAAUAUUUCAAAAUUAUGAGUAUAUAAUGGCCAUUCUUACAUCAACCACCACAGGCUUGGUUUCUCCAUUUAGCAUGAUGCUGGCUAUGAGAUCUUUGUCUAUAGCCUUUAUUGUGUUAAUAUAUUUUCAGUCCGCCAUUUUGUUCUCUAGUUCUUUUCCCAAGAACCAAUUCUUUUGUAGAUGAAUUUUUCUCUAUGUAGGUUUCCAUAUGAUUUUUGUCUGUAUGUUCUUUUACAUUUUUUGUUUCAUUUCUCCGUGUGCUUAUGUUGAAGCAUCUACACUUGGGGUAGAAUAAAUUAGAUCAUGGAGAAUGGUCUUGAUCUGUGUCUGUUAUCGGUUUGCAUGUUCAUUUUUUUCAGAAAAAAUUUGCAUCAGUGUUCACUAAUAAUAUCAAUCUGUAAUUCUCUUUUAUUGUUUCUUUGUCAGAUUUUGUCUUAUAAUAUAUUGGCCUGUAGAAGAAGUUUGAGAUUGAUUAUUUUUGGAAAAUUAUUUUAAGAUGUUUUGGUUGUAGAUCAAAAACGUUUUGUAGAAUUUUUUAAGUCCAUCUGGACCUCACAUUUUUUUAACUUGAAUGAUUUUUUUAUUUCUACUUUUUUAAAAAAAUUUACUUCCUCAACCUCCUGGUAAGUUUUAAAUUAAAGUUACAAAAGUUAAAGUUUUAAUCAGUUUUUGGUUAAAAUUUGCUUGGGCCACAUAUAUUUGAAAAUUUAUCUAUUUCUUAAAUGAUAGGUUUUCCAACUGAAUGAAAUGUAGGUUUCUAAAAUAAAUCCUUCUGGUUUUCUGUGUGUUUUUUGUAUCUUGCGAUAUCUUCCUGUUCAACUCUAGUUGUAUUAUUUUGGAUCUUCUUGUUCAUUUUAUAAUUAAUUUAGCUUAUAGUUUACUUGUCUGGUCUCACUUUACCUUUUUCAUCCCUGAUUUUUUUAUUAUCUUCUCUGGUGUCUUGCUUUUGUAUAUUUAAGUAAUUUUUAGAGACUGGUUUAUAUUUUUCAAAUCACUUAUUAAUAUUGAGGUAAUUUAUCACAAUAAAAUAUUUCUAUUUUAUCCCAAAUAUAAAAUAAUCUCAUACUUUUUAUGGAAACUAUCAUCCUUCUGUCUUCUUAUAAAAAUGGUUCAUAGGCACCAAGAGUGAGAUAUUUAUUAUAGAUAAAGAAAAGCCAAAGGAAAUAGUUACUUGGCAACAUAUUUAUUUUAAAAUACUGAUAUUGCAUAAAUUUGUGAUUAAUAUCUUAAUAUUUAGUCACCAAUCUUGAGCUUUUUCUGCAAAAAAAUAUAUUAUUUUUCAUGCCUAAAAAUAAAGAAGCAGUUUUCUGGCCCUGGCAAAUAUCAGUUCAAUGUCACGAGUUUGUCUGGUAUUGCUUUAGGGUUCAAAUGCUAAAGACUGUGUAGUCUAAGACCUGUGUGCUCUAAGAAGAGCAGAUCCUCAAGUAUACCACCUUUUGUUGUGUAAACCUUGCUCCCAAGUUAUUUGUGAUGAACAAAGGUGCCUAUAGUCUGUAGCUGGGCAGAAGAGAUGUAGGUGAGGCUUUAGGUCCCUGACUUGGUGUCUCUGGCAGAAGCCAUGAGGGGAGCCUGGAAGAAAGAAGGCAGAAGAAGCUGCUAUGAGGUAGGCGGAUCUUGAGCAUUGGCCAUGGGGUUUGGCCUGUUGAAGUAGAAGUAGCCCAGGUGGAAAAUGGUGUAUGAAAUCUCAGCAUUAAUGCAGGAAAAUAGAGAAAAUAGCAUAGCAGUUGAUACCCGCCAAACUCUACUGCUUUAAGGCUUAUUAUAAAUAUAAACAUUUUUGUGUCCUUCAUUUGGGAAGUAUAUUGUCAAAGUGGGGUAAAAGAAAAACCCAAAUAAUAAUAACCACAUCACUACACAAGAGUCAAGUAUAAUAUAUUAAAAAAAAUACCCUAUUGAGAUCACACAGCCACCCACAUGCUGGUGCAUGAAGAGCUUCUUUGCCUGAGAAAUAAAAGAGGCUGUGCCUCAAGUAUUGAACCUGUGCUUCUAAGAGAAAAUCCUUAAGAACUGACAAAUGCAUCACAGUCAAACUGUUUUGAAAAUUUAAAAAAAUACAACUCUCCCAUUCAAUUAUCCCAAUUCCUGAGACCUCUGCUAAACCUCUUAAAAUAAGGAAAUUGACUAAAUAAGCAACAAUCAGGAAUCGAUGAGGAUAAGACAAGUUGGAGAAGGCUGAUAUAUAACAGUGUUUGUCAAUACACAUCAUCUGUGACUGCACCCACUGACUGUCAGUUGAACCAAGAGUAAGAUAAUCACGUUUGUUUUGCAAUGAACUCUAAGCUAAGCUUGGUUAAAAUAAACAGUGUUGUAAGUAGCGCAUUGCUUAUAUGAAGACUGGAGUGAUAUUAUUUUAUCUAAAUUGGGUCUAGAUUGGGACAGGUAGUGAUAAAGAAUCCAUAGGAAAGGACUUGAGAUGGCAAGGAACUGUUUUCUGUGUUUUGUUUAACUAAUUUCCCAAUUACAUCUUACAUAUUCAUAUGAUGUCAUACACACUACUGAACACCACAAGGUAAGAUACAGUCUUUGCAUUCACCAUACAAUUCUUCCUUAAAUUCAGUGAACUAUCCUGAUGUUAUUUGAAGAAGAAUACUAACAACUACAGCACUGUCUUUAUAUUUUUAUUUUCCUAUAUUGGCGUAAAAGAAAAGACUGAACAUUUAAUACCUCAAAAUAGAAUAUUAAAUAUAUGCCAUUAAUAGAUAAUUCCUGAAGAUUUUUUUUCUGAUAAUACCAGAUUUGCGCUUUCUGAGUCAGAAAAUGUCUCACAUCCACUUAAAACAUCUCUUUUAGAUAUUUAAAACAGUCUAGGGCAUUUUAUAGGUCUUCUGAGUUGUACUCUGAGAACAGCAAUUUAAUGAAAGUCUUUACAUAGAAAUCUUUCUUUUGGCGAAACUCAAAGGUUUGAGAGGGCGAGCACAAUUUCUGCCUCCUUUAGAGCUUUGCAAUAACACAGCUCUGACAUUCCAUUCCACAAAAACACAGCACUGCCUGCCAAGUCACUCUCAUGGGCCGUUCAACAACCAUUAUUUAGGAUGGCUGCCAAUCAAAGUUGAAGUCUUUUGUAUUUCAAAGGAUUUUUAUAAGAGUGUCUAUUAUAACUAUUUACCUGCCAUCUAGUACAGAAAGAUGUAAACCCUUUGAGUCAGUAACACAAACUGUUCUCUCUACAUUUCUGAUUUUGUCAUUAUGAUUCUAUACUGUUUUGGCUCUUGAUUUUUCCUGCUUUUCUACCUUAAUAUGCCCUUAAAGCUGAGGUGCAUGUAUUGGUUUCAGACUAUUUCUUCUCCCUGCACUGCACAGGAACUAAUUGUGCCAUACAACUGGAGAAGCUUGAAGUUUGUUGAAAUAAUGUGUAUAUUACACAAGAUUCUUUAGACAGUUUAUUCUGUUUUACUUUAUCCUUCCCCUAGGCACUGUUUCUCUCCUUUAUUUUCUUCUUCCCUAUCAACUUCUUUAGGAAUAAUUCAAGUUCACAUGCCUUCAAUAUGACUAAUUUGAAAAUGUUUUUCUGUAUAUAUUUUUUCCUUCUAGGCUUCAGACUUACUUUUUAACUGUCUAAUUCAAAAUUACUAUUCAAUGAUAUUAUUUCAAGUUAAAAUAAGAUUUCUUAUAAGCCUCACAUAUUCUGUGCCAACAUCUCACAACCUCCUUUUCCAAGUUUUCUAUUCUAACUAUUCCAAUUCGAAACUUUAAAAGUGCAAUAUUUAAUUCCUCCUUGUUUAGUUCAGUGUUUUCUUCUUUUUCAUUUUUACAGUGACUGAUCUAUAUCAGAUCUUUACUUAUUUAGAUCUAUGAAAGAAUACUUGUUUUUUUUUGUCUCCUACGGUUCCUGUAACUUCCACAUCUGUCAUCAUCGAGAGGAAACUCGUGUAAGACCAUGACUUUGCUCAAAGGUUUUCAGUUAUCUUCCUGUUACUGAGGACAGAAUUGCAUCUAUAUUUACUUCUGAAUAAUAUCGUAAGAAUAAAUCAAAACUUGCCCUACCAAUAAUACAUGCUGUGAAGGAAAACCAACAAAAGCACCCAGAAGUUAUCUGUAAAGUUUCUUUAAAAUAUUGCAAUAUAAAAGAAGAGCUAUGUACUGCAAAGAGAUUAAAGACCAGAAGGCUCAUUUAAUAUUCCAGCAGUUCCUAGAAUAUGAUUACACUUCAGAAAUUAUAGAAAAGCUCCGACUGUAUUAGUUACAGUGUACAGAGCAGGAUAUCAGCAUAGCAGGAUGCAGAGAAACCAGUAGAAGUUGUGACCAACAGAAGUACAUGGUUAUAUCAUUUGAAUUUACUCCAAUGAUUAUAGGACAAUUAAGAGAUAAGCUCUCAGAAGAAUAAAGGAAAAAGUGCUGUCUUACAGGAUCCUUAGCGGUUAAAGACACUAAUUUAUAUAUAAAAAACAAAGAGAACAAACUAUUGUUGUAAAAUUAAGCACAGCCUUGUGUUAACUGUCCUAUCUGAUCUGUCUGUUACGUACUCUCACAUCUCACACCCAAGAAACUAUUUUUUGUGCAAUCACAUUUCUAGAUUGAAGACAAAAUUUAGGAUGGUGACUUGAUGUUUUCAAAUCAGCAACAAACAGGAUAUAUAAUUAUUACCAUUUCUUUCAAAGGGAAUUGAAAUGGUAGUUUCUUAGAGGUUUUAUUUCUGUGAUAAAACACUAUGGUCAAAAGCAACUCGGGAAGGAAAACUUCUUUAAUCUUUCAAUUCUCUGGUCACAUGUCAUUACAGAAAGAAACCAGAGCGGAAUACUCUCCAGGACAUGAGAGUUUAGGAAUUCUCUGGAAAGCUGUUUACUUGCUUUUUGCAUAGGUAUUGUUCAGCCUACAUCUACUUAUUUGUCUGUUAUCUAUGUGUUUAUGUAUCCAUGCAUCUAUGUAUUAUGUAUGUAUGUAUGUAUCUACUCAUCUAUCCAUCAUCCAUCCAUCCAUUUAUUUACUUUUUUCUCAUAUAUUACAUUCUGACUACAGUUUCCAAUUCUUACUCUCCUUCCCUUUCUUUCCCUUCACCUCACCUAUUCCCAACAUCCACUGCUCUUUGUUUUCUCUUCAGAAAAGUGUACGGCUUCCAGGGAUAGCAAUAAAUAUGGCAUAACAAAUUAAAAUAAAUCUAGACUCAUACAUCAUAUUAAGGCUGGAUAAGGCAAACCAAUAGGGAAAAGAGGGCCUAAAAGCAGGCAAGAGAUUUGAAGACAGUCCCUAGUCUUACUGUUAAGGUCACACAAGAACACCGAGUUACAUAGCCAUAGCAUAUAUGCAGAGAACCAGGUCAGACCCACACAGGCUCCUUGAUAUCACCUUAGCCUUCUAAAGCUCCCCUAAAAGUCCUGAUUGAAUCUGUGGGCUCCGUUCUUGUUAGUCUGCUGUCUUAAAGCAUGAAUGACCACCAUUUCCAAUGAUGGAACCACCCAAAAUGAGCAGAUGAGCAGUCCAUCCCAUGUCAACCCGUGAUCAACACAGUAUCUCAGAGUCUUGACUGCAGGUCAAUUUUAAGGAGUCAUUGUCUAAAAUUUCCUCUUUCCAGAUAUGUCUAGGUCUCUGUUGACAUAAAAAAUAAGGUAAUUAAUUAAAUCAAUAAUAUAUCAAAGAAAUCAAGUAUAUAAAUUGAAGAAUAUAUAUUUAAGUUGUUCUGUAACGUAUCAGAGGCAAGGAUCAGGGAACAUGAAAUUAAAGAAGGAAUGCUAAAUCAGGAGUGAAUCACAAUGAACUAUAUCAGAAAUUGAGAAUUUGAGGACUUAAACAUACGUACAGGCAUACAUACACAUAUACACACAUAUUCAGACAGAGCACCUACAUAUCUGAUAGACCAACAAUUGUAUAGAUAGAUAAAAUAGUAAAAAUUAUUUAAAAUAUCCCCUUCAUAUUGCUUUGCUGAAUUUCAUUUAUCACUGAAAGACAGUGGUCAUCUCAUCACAUGAAGUGUAUGAGUAUCAUUUUUUAAAUAUUUUAUUUAAUUGCAUUUGAAACCUGUUGAAGAUGGGAUUCAAAAACUCUUUAGAGGUCCUUAGUUUGGUCCCUAAACCCAUAUUGAAUGUCUCACAGUUAUCUGUAAACUCUAGCUCUAGAUUAUCUGACACUGUCUCUUGAUUCUGUACUAACAUACACACAAAGCUUCAUUUUUCAGUAGAUGGUAAUUAACAUAAAGACCCACAACAUGUCAACAUGUAAUCUGAGAAGUCCUCCCUUGAAUGGGAUGUUUUUAUUACAAUUCUCUUCCUAAGGCUCACAAAUCUAUGCAUACAAGAGGGCAGAAAGACUGUAAGAAAUAAAGGUGGUGAAUAAUUUUUAUGGGAACACCAUUUUCUAGGCACAAAAAUAGUGGAUGCAUGUAUGUGUUACCUCUCAAAUCCUGGAGAGAUUGCUUAUUGAGGUGCCUAUUGGCAUAUAAAAAUAUACAUUUUUCUCCAGCCUCUCUCAGUACCUGUUAAAGAGACAUCCUUUAAAUAUUAUAAAGACACUAGUAUUAUAAAAUAAAGUGUAUAAAAAUUUUUAUGCUAAAACAUUACAAUCUGCUGGGAUUUAUUAUUAGAGUGGAGGAAUAGGUCAGUAACUUAAAAUCAACAAUUCAUAGUAAUAUAUAUCUUAAAGGCCAAAUAAACAUUAAUGAUUAAUUACACUCACCUUUAAAAGUUGAUAAAAAUCCAAGGUCUUUUCUAACACAAAUCUCUAAAUAUCAAGAGUAAGAGAUUUUAUUCAAUACUGGCCAGAGAAACAUAAACCAUAGAUAAUAAUUUCAUUUGUGAAAAAUUGAAAAACAGUUCUCUCCAUAUCAGUGAUAAGACAUGCAUAGCCACUGUUACGGCUCCUAGUUACUAUGUUGUUAGUGGCUGGUCAGGACAUUUAGUUAUGAGAAAGAAAUAAAAGGACCUGAGGGAAAAAAUGUUUGAUUCUGUUACCAAAUUAUCUUAUAAGUGCUCACCAAAGCCUGCAGGGACCGAAUAGUUUAGUAAAAUCGAGGAAACAAAAUUAGAUACCAAUACCAAACUAACUCAGAAGAGAAUAAUAGAAAAAUGAUUUCUAUUUACAAUAACCAUAAAAAAGCAAACACUUGCAUGUUGAGCUUUUGGGCAGGUACAAAGAAUUGUGGGAGGAGAACUGAGAAACACUGGUAAAAGAAGUACGAAGGAGCUAAAAAUAUUAUGAGCACUUCCCAGGAGCAUGAACUAUCAGGAGGAAUAUUGACAAUGACCAUAUGAGCCCCCACCCCACAACAAAUCUACAAAUCCUGUUAACUUUCUUUAGAUUAGUGUUGCCAUUUGGGGUCUGUUUCCCUUUUCAGUCUGUCUAGUUUCAUAGUGGCUACUUGUUGGACAAUAUGUAACCUAAACACUAUAAAAAUAUACAACCAGAAAUGCUGCAUAUUAACUAGACUUGUAGACUUGGUGAAGUACAAUGGCAGCCUAGACUGAAACACUGACAGGAUAUCAUGAAAGAAGCUGUACUAAUUGAUUAGAAAGGUACUGUGACUCUGAAUGUUGGAUACAGAUAUCAGGAUGACAUAAGGAUCAAUGGUUUAAGGAUAAGGUAGCCUAUGAGAAAUUUUACCUAUGUAGACAGAAUAAUAUUUAAUUCUCACUGAACACAGUUUAAUUCUAAGGUUAAAACAAGAAUUGAAGAUAUUAAAUCUUAAGGGAUUAUAGUUUGCAGAGAGAAAUUAAUUUAUUUUAUUCUCAUGUUGGAGAUUUUGCUUAUAUUUCUAGUGCAGUGCUAGAGGUACCAAGCGUUUUGUCUUUGAAUGUUCAUGGUAGUUCAUGCUAUUAGUCUGCAGAUAUCAUAAAAUUUAAUCAAAUCUCCCUCAUGCAUAGUUAUGAUUUAAGAUGGGCACUUUGGAGAGCUUGGCUUUCUCUUUUAGGAGCCUAUUAAUUAUAAAAUGUCUCCUGUUGAUUAACUGCUUCUUGGGGGCAUCAAAAAAAUUAAUGUCUUUUUUAUAACCUGGGAUUCAUUUCAGUUAUGAGAAUUAUUUGGCUAUCAUUUAAAUCAGGUAAAGAUAUGAAACAGAGAACUCAUUGGGUUUUCUUUUCUCUUAACAUACAAAUAUAGGCCACGGUGCCCUAUGGCCUAUUACUUAUUCAGCAACCCUUAAAUUAUUUAAAGUAGUGGAAUUUUCCAUCCUUCAUUGCACAAAUAUUAAACAAGCCGAAAAGGUAUAUGAUUAAAUUAUAAUUCCUAUAAUUCUUUAUUUUAUCUUUUUGCUUAUUUUUCAGGUAUUGAUAUCACUACCAUUAAUUGUUUUUUAUUUGCUUAAAAUGCUACAUUAAAUGAAUAACCCAAUAUAUCCUUUGAAAUUUGUGACUUUCCUUAAGGAUGAGUUUGAUACAUAAUAAAUACGGCAAGUAUAUAGUACUGAAAAUCUCGAUCUUAUAGAAUGAACUACUAGUUAGUAUCAAUAUCCAAGAACCAAUAAAAAGAAGUGGUUUAUAAUUAAGAGGAAAAAUAAUAUAACUAAGGAAAAAAUCGUGUAGUUAGAAUCCUUCAGCUACAGAUAUUCUUUUGUCUCAAAGAAUGUAACUUUACUUUCUUGGUGCAGAAAACAGGAAGUCUUCAUAAAUAAUAUUAUUUUUAAAGAGGAAAAUACUCACUACCAGUUAAUUAAUUCAGAGUAUAACUAUCAAUCAGUCAGUGCCAGUCAAGUCCCUACAAUUCACUCCAGGCUUAGCACUCUUGGUUACAAUAUAACAAGACAGUCUCUUUCUAGCACUGCUUACUGGAGGCAUUCACAGACACUCCCUUCUCUGGAUUUCUUGAAUAAUGUAUUAAUGAGCUCUGCUUGUGAUAAGCGGAUUACACAUGCAGUAAACUUCUCAAGCUCAAGAUCAAAAUCAAGGAUCAUAGUCAUUGAAAUCAUAGUUCAAGCGCUGAGUUCUUCCUCCCACUUUGUAUCUUUGAUACUAAUAUUGUUUCAUCUGUAUAGUUAUGUGUCUCCCUUAUUAAAAUGACGCAUUUGUAACUUUGGGAUUCUAGCCACCCUGAGCUUGCACUUUGAAUGUCAAACAAAAUUUAGUUCCUUUUCUGAAAGCAAGUGUUCAGCCUAAGUGGAGUGCAAUUCUUUGUUUAUGUUUCCUAGUCUUUUAUCUCCAAUUAACAUUUGUUUUACAAUGUAUUCUCCUUAGACAACUGACAUCAAUAAGCAAGCUCUACUGAAAGCAUCAUUAAUUUGGAUUUUAUUUCUUUAGAGAAAAAUCCUGUGGGUAAUUAAAACACUUGCGAACAUACUAGAAAAAUCUCUAAGUCCACAGCCUUUAAAACCUCACAGAAUACAUAGACAAAAAGAAGAUAUGGUUAUCUCUUUAUUUUUUGAGAAUUCUUUUAUUACUAUGUUUGUCUACAUCUUAUUUUAUUUUCAUUACAUGUUUACAUUUUACUGAAUUUUGUAAAUUUUAUAAUACUAAUAUUAUUUGCUGAAUUACUGUUGAGCCCCUUUUAAUGUGUCAAAGGGAGUUUUAAACUCUCGAAAUACACACAAUAAAAGCACAAAUAUUUUCAUUCUAUGCUAACAUCACACUUGCUUUCCUCGUUUUGUUAUAAGGAUAUGUUCUAAAUUAUUGGGCAGAGAAAUACACAUCAGAAAAUAUCUACUAAUGGCCAAAAUACAUUCAAAUAAUAUAAAUGUAAACCACUUGUUCUUAUUCAUUUAUUAAACUGAAAUGGAAAGCCAGUCAUUGCAUAUGAAAUAUAUGAGAAAGCAUCACAUUCUUUCUAUAAUCCUAACACAUGAUUAUCAUACCAUAAUAAUAAGAACAUUUGAUACAUUCUUUUCUCUUUAUAUUAACAAACAUUAUCAUUACUUGAAUUAUAAAGUUUUGCUGUAUUAUGUGUUUUCAAGAAUUAUAAAGAAGAAUGUAAAUGCUCUAAAUGAAGAAUUUGCAUAGUUCACAACAUUUAAAGAUCAUUAUUUUCUAGGAAAUUUAAAGCUUUUCUUACUUUAUGAUUUAUACUAAGCUAAGAAAAUCAAAGAUAUAAAUGAAACUCGAUAAAAAUUUUUUCUGAAGAUGGCUAAAUCAUACACAUAGGUAUUUUAAUGUAAAGGUAUAUAAUACUAAAAGAUUCCUCUGUAUCUCAUCUUCAGACAAACUUAUUUUAAUUUUUAUUGGAUAUUUUAAAUUUAAAUUUUAAAUAUGAUUCCCUUUCUCGGUUUCCCGGACAUAAGCCCCCUAUCCCAUCCCCCUUUCCUUCUUCUAUAAGGGUAUUCCCCUCCCUAACCACUCCUCUUCCUCCCCCGACCCCCCAACAUUCCCCUUCACUGAAGGGUCCAGCCCUUGCAGGACCAAGGGCUUCUCCUUCCAUUGGUGCCCAACAAGGACAUCCUCUGUUAUAUAUGCAACUGGACCCAUGAGUCAGUCCAUGUAUAUAGUCUUUGGGUAGCAGUUUAGUCCCUGGGAGCUCUGGUUGGUUGGCAUUGUUGUUCUUAUGGGGUUGAAAGACCCUUCAGCUCUUUGAAUCCUUUCUCUUAACUUGUCCAAUAAGGACCCCGUUCUUAGUUCAAUGGUUUCCUGCUAGCAUUUGCCUCUGUAUUUGUCAUGCUCUGGCUGAGCCUUUCAGGAGAUGGCUAUCUCAGGCUCCUGUCAGCAUGCACUUCUUGGCUUCAUCAAUAUUGUCUCUUUUCUACAAAUGGAACUUCAGUUACUUCUUUCAUUCCCUAUUUUGCCUCUCAAUAAUAAUUAUAUUUUUUACUAUUUAAUGUCUAAAUUCACUUGAUAAGUGAGGUCUAGUUUGAUUUUAUAUGUAAUUAAUUUUUAAAGAUUUAUCUAUUUUAUAUUUUAUAUGCAUGUAUGAAUUUGUGCCUAUAUGAAUCAUCUAUUUGUAUUUUAUAUGCAUGUAUGAAUUUGUGCCUAUAUGAAUCAUGUAGAUGUCUUGUACAUAAGGAAGCUAAGAGGAGUCAGAUCAGUUGGAAGAACAGUUACAGGAUCUUGUGGGCAACACAAUGGGAGUGUUAGAGACAAAGGUGACAUCCUUUGCAAGAGCAGCAAGUCAUUCUAAAUGUUGAUCAAUCUCCCCAGCCUCUUAAGCUCAGGAGGCAGAACAUUAAGGAUUUUGGUUUGUGAUUUUUCUCUCCUAGUAAUGUCAGUAACUACAUCUCACCAAUAUGGCUGCCUAAACAUGAGCUGAAUAAGACAAAAACAGAAAUGUAUACUUGGAUGGGGAAAAAAAUCCAUGAGGCUUCCAACUGACACAAAGAAAUACAAGCAACUAAGGACUAGCAAAGUGGAGAAAACUUCUUCUUUUUCUAACACUAAGUGAACUAACACAUAUAGUAGGUUUGUACAUUGUAUUUGAGUGUCCAUUUGGUAGAUCCAAUUCAUCACAGUAGGUGUGGAAGUGUAUGCCUAUUAUUAUUCAAUGCCAAAUGCCUGAUAAUAUGUGUAUCUGAAUAACAUUAUACAGGCAGAGCAGGAUAAAUGUACACAUUUAGAAAUAUAUAUCAUGCCCACUAUAUUGUAUAUAAUUAUCCUUAUAAUAUGUAUUUUAAUAUAAAUUAAUGAAUAAAAGAUGAUAUGAAUUUGAAAGAAAGCAAAGAGGGGUAUAUGGGAAAAUCUAGAGGAAGCAACAGGAACGGGAAAAUGUUGCAGUUAUAAUCUCAAAAACUAAAAGGAAUUAAAAAGCAAAUGAAAUAUAUAGAUAUAGAUAUUCGUGUGUGAAACAGGGAGCUUAAAUAUUAUAAACAAGUUGCUUGGUGAUUUAGGUAUAUCUAUUUAUAUUUUGAGCCUAGACAAGCAUGUAGAGCAAGCUGCUAGAUCUCCGGGAAGAAGACACGAUGCAUGAGAGAGGGCCAAAUUGGGCUGAGAUCUCUUACCAUCUACAAUCAGAUCCUGGAAAUAGCGUGUGACUUAGAGGUUCUGAAAGCACUGCUUUGUCUACUGUGGGGUUCUUAGAAAAGCACUGGAAGCCUUCUAUUCCAGAUGAUUCAGAAUUACACCAUGAACCACAUCCUAACUGACCAAUACAAAAUAGUACGUGUAACAGGUUUGUACAUUUUAUUUGGGGGUCUUUUUUUGGACAUCCAAUUCAACACUCAGCUUGAUCCAAUCAGUCUGGUAUAUGAAUACUAUUCAUAUUUUAAAAUUCUCACUGGGGGCAUGAGUCAUGGAUACAUUUUUCAUAUUGGCUUUUCUAGAGUAACUGGCCCCUUUGGGAAGAAAGAACACUGAUUGCUAGAAAUUGGACCUAUAUGUAUGCUCGACAUAAGAUAAUUAUUGUAUAACCAUGAUUUUUAUUUUUUAUUCCCUAAAAUUAAGAUAAAAAUCUGCAUUUUAGUUGUAUUGUACUGUCUGUAAUUACAUUACUAUAAAAUAUCUGAUAUUGAAAUUUAUGACUUAUUAAUGGUACUGCUUUUGAAAGCUAUAUAUUGGUAGAUAAUCACAUAAUUGAUUAGUUUUUAAUAGACAGCACUUCAUUUUAAAUCAUUAGUUUUAGCAUUUUAUUUUAGAAUAUAAAAAGUUAAUGGUUUCAAAAUUCUUAUAUAUUACAUAAAUGACAAGCAAUGAUAAGGUCACCUGGUUUAAUUUGCUAUUGGUUUCACUUUACAAUGAUUUGUUGUAGGUUAAUGACUGAUAGAAAAGGUCUACAUUUUGCAAUUUAUGUCAAUUUGAGAUUUACUGCAUAAAACAAUUUUACAUUGUAAUAUUAUGUUUGAGUCUAGAACUGUUAUUAUGUACUCAUAUAGAUAUAAUUUUAAUUCAGAAUGGACCUGGUUUGAAAAACUGUAAGGAUUUUUCAGAGUAUGCAUCGAAUCAAAAGCCAUCUUGAAAUUUCUUUUAGACACCUAACAUUUAAGAAAAAUAAAACAUCUUGGAAAUAAAAAUCAAAGGAGAAGUAUGUUAAUAAAUAUAUGGAGUUACUGAGUAUAACAAAUAGAAAGUUAAAAUCAAUAAUUAAUAAGAAGAAUAUAUGACACACAAGCCAUUUUUCCAUUUAUAAAACAUCUAAGUGCUUUAAUUUUCUAGAUAUUUUUGAAGAUAUUUUGAUAAUUUUGAUAUUUUGAAGACACUAACAUAUAAAAUAGAGAAAUGAAAAUUUGCUGCUUUUGAGGAGGUCUGACUCCAGUGGUCAAUAAGUAGAGAUGGGGUUAUUGGAGGAAUGGAUUAAAUCUAAUUGAGUUAUUUGCCAAAGGAACCCCACAGAAACCCGAACAACUCAGGCUAUUGUCAAGGUUAUUGAUGGCUCUCCCCAAACUCAAGGUAAGACCAGAUUCCUGAAGAAAUCACCAAUGUGAAUUAGGAGAAAUCAAUCUGGUGCAUAACUAGAGCCUGCACAUCUGAGCAGUUCAUGCCACUGAAGUUUAUUGUACAUGCUACCAGAGAAGACAGGUAAACACUACGACAGAGACAAAUCAUUUAUUCUACACUGAUAACUUGACAGCAUGAUACCAUUAAGGAGUUUUUAUCCAACAACAUGGCUGCCCUGGCAAGAAGUCACUUCAAAGACCUUCUAGGUCUGUGUGAUCUGGCUGGAAUACAGACACACUGUUAAUCCCUGGAGACAGGAUCUCUGGGUUCAAGGCAAGCCUAGUAUAGAGCAAGCUUUAGGGAAUGAGAAUCUUAGGUCCAGGCUUGGUGACUUUUAAUCCAAGCUCUCAGGAGACAGAAGGAUGCAGGUCUCUGAGUGCUAGUCCAUAAGUUCUUUUGUUUAGUCAGUUGAGUUCAGUGUAGUGAAAUCCUUUUCUGUCAGUCAGCUGGGAGUCAGUAGAGUUAAGUCCUGUGCAGUGCUGUUUAGUUCGUUUUUCAGUUCAGCGCAGAUCAGCAGGGGCGGUUGAAGCCAAAGAAUAGGGAAUCAGAAAAUUUGAGCAAAUUGCUAGUUAGUUUAAGGACAAGCAGAACCAUUCAGUGAGAAGCUGAGAGAAGCUAGAUUGAAUCAGUCAACUUGAAGAGAAGUUUGAGCCACAAGGGCUGAGUUGAACCAACCAGAGUUUAGAAAGACCUAGAAAGAGUGAGCUCAUCCAGCAGUAAGCCUCUGAGAUGACAAUUGCAGCAGACGAAUAAGUUGCUUCUACAGGAUACACUCAUCUAAUUUUGGCACUAAUGUGUGGGUAAUCGAAGAUUAUCUGGUUGGAUUUAAGACCUACUCCAUGAGAACACUUACCUGACACUGCUGUAGUGGCAGAGAAUCUGGGCUAGUUAGACCACGGACAUAAGGGAACACCAAAUACUGCUAUUCUGCUAAAUGAAUAUAAUAAUUAAAUGACAGCUACUGGCAUCCUGCUCCAUCUAAAUCAGUAUUUCACUAGCCAUCAUCAGAAAAUGUCUCUCCUGCAGUGUAAGGGAACUAAUACCAAGACGCAAGACUCCCAACUGGACAAUUGGCAAAGAAUGAGGGCUUGAAACACUCAGUCCAAAAUCCGAUGUAUGCAUCAACCCUCCCUCACCUUCCCAUUGUUCAUGGUACUAAGGGCAAAAUGCAAAGGAAGGAUUGUAAGAGCCACAGAGGCUGGAUGAUACCCAGGAGAAAGUGUCUUCCAGACACAACAGGACUAAGGUACAUAUUAGCUCACGAACAUGGUGACAGCAAGUAUAGUGCCUCCACAUGCCAAACUAGACAGAACUCCAGAUCACAGAUGUGGAAGAAGACAGAAGUGCCCAUCCUGAACUGAGAAGUUGUUUCCAAUUAACAAAGGAAAAAUUAGGGAAUCCCACUUGGUAUAAAAACAACCUUAAAGGCAGGCUCCACGUCAACACAAAAGGAACUCAGUGGGACAUUGUUUAACCUUAGUAGUCUUUGUCUGGAUAUUAUGUUUUCUAAUUUUAUUUUUGAUAGGCUUUAGGUGUGUGUUUUUCUUUUCCUUCUUUUCUUCUUCUUCUUCUUUUUUUUUUUGCCUUGUUACAUUGUUCAUUUUGUUUUAUCCUCCUUUGUUUGCAUUUUAUUGGCCUGUCAGUUUCCUGAAGUGAGAGAGGAAGAAGGUGUGGUCUAGGAAGAACAAGAGCAUAGGAAGAAAUGAAGGAAAGGAAACAAUGAUCAGAAUAUACUUUAUAAAAAUAACUUUAUUUUUAAGUUCUAAAUAAAAGUAAGGCCAGAUGCAUACUACCCAUUGUGUCUGAUAGGUUAGUUAAAAAAUCAUAAAUCUGGAACAGUGUUAACUUCAUUAUCAUAAAGUUUCUAGUUUUCCAAAUAAAAGGAUUGGUAAAUAAGGGCUUUGGUUUAUUUGCUUGUUUGAUUGUUGGUGUUUGUUUUAAUGAUGGCUGUGAUGGCUAAUCAUGGUUGCCAAGGGAUACCUGAAAAAACCAAACACCAAGUAAUUGUCUCCAUGUAAGCAUAUUUUCUUGAUUCCUAAAGGAUGCAGAAGGACCCAGCCCAUUGUCAGUGCUGUUCUCCCUGGGAAGGGUAGAUCAUGGCUGUAUCAGAAGCAGAACUGUGACAGCCAGGAAAGCAUGUCUGUGAGUAACAUCGCUCUGUUGUCUCUGCUUCAGUCAUGCUGCCAGGUUCUUGUCCUGAAUUCCUGCCUUAGCAUCCAUCUGCAACGGGCUAUAAUCAAUAAAGCAGACAAAUUCUUUUAUUCCCAAGUUAUUUUCCAUCCAUGCUCUAUCAUAGAAGUAGAAAAACAAGCCAAGAUAACAACAUAUACACAGUUAACAUUUAAUAUGUUCUCCUUAUAACUAAUUCAUUGAAUCAGAGGACAAACAUCUUUCCUCAGCACUGAAUCAGGACAAGCAUCCUUAAUAAUUAAUUGGCUGGAUUGAUAGAUAAAGGCAAAGCUAAAAUUUUACUGUUACUAUUUUUUUUAUUAUUAUAAAGGCUUGGAUUCAUAUUUGGUGCUAUUGGACAGUCAUAAAUAUUGUAAAAGAUGUAGCUUAAUGGGAGGUUGUCGAUCAUUGAGGGGAGGGAUAUAGUCCCUUCUUAUCACCCAUUUUAUUUCUCAGCCACCAUGAAAGAAAUUAUUUUGUUUUUAUCUGUUGGAAUGUGUCCAAGAAUGAUGAGCAUGAAGAACAGUAUCUUGUGGAACUUUGAGAGAGUGUCCAGGAUAAGAGGCAAGAGGGCCUUUUACCUGAAGUGCAUUUUGUUCCCUUGAGAGCUCUUGGAUGUUAUUUCAUGCUUCUUGGGUCUAUAAAAUAUAUUUAUUCUUAUUCAAUGUUUGAACAUAGCUAUAGAACACAAUCUGCUGGAAAACUACUGUUUUUGGGGUACACUGAACCUAGACAUGGCCGCCUGACCUUCUCUGAUGCCUCCCUGGGUACAGUCUAUAGUAUUUGCCAUGGAAAUGUGUUAAAACUGUUAUAUUCUGAGAAGUUCUGGGAAAGGGCUCCUCUGUUAAUAUUUAGUAUGUGCUUACUGGAGGAAUUUUUUUUCAUGUUUUUCCGAUAUUUCUCUAAUCAUGUUUUUUGAAUUCAGAUAAUCUUCCUUGGAUCAUUGCUUUUUGUAAUAUUUUUAUAUAAACAUACAAUGAAACUGAAGUAAAAUGGUCUACACCAUUAGAGUGUAUUCCACCCCAUUCUUUUUUUUUUAAUCUUCAUUAACUUGAGUAUUUCUUAUUUACAUUUCGAUUAUUAUUCCCCUUCCCGGUUUCUGGGCCAACAUCCCCCUAACCUUCCUCCAUCUCCUCUUCUAUAUGGGCUUCCCCUCUCCAUCCUCCCCCCAUUACCACCCUCCCCCCAACAAUCCUGUUCACUGGGAGUUCAGUCUUGGCAGGACCAAGGGCUUCCCCUUCCACUGGUUCUCUUACUAGGCUAUUCAUUGCUACCUAUGAGGUUGUAGCCCAGGGUCAGUCCAUGUAUAGUCUUUGGGUAGUGGCUUAGUUCCUGGAAGCUCUGGUUGGUUGGCAUUGUUGUUCAUAUGAGGUCUCAAGCCCCUUCAAGCUCUUCCAGACCUUUCUCUCAUUCCUUCAACGGGGUUCCUGAUCUCAGUUCAGUGGAUUGCUUCUGACAUUCGCCUAUGUAUUUGCUGUAUUCUGGCUGUGUCUCCCAGGAGAGAUCUACAUCCAGUUCCUGUCAGCCUGCACUUCUUUGCUUCAUCCAUCUUAUCUAAUUGGGUGGCUGUAUAUGCAUGGGCCACAUGUGGGGCAGACUCUGAAUGUCCAUCCCAUUCUUUAAGGUUCUCAUAUCUCAGAUUUUAUCGGUAUAUCUGUAGUUCAAUAAAAAUCGACAUUAACCAUACCAUGGUUAGGGGGAUGUUGGCAAACCAUGAUACGCUCUUUUACUAUGGGCCCUGAACAUUGAAAGGAGCAACCCAUGGUCCAAAGACUAAAAACAAAACCAAGCAAAACAAAUAAACCACUUCCUCUCAAAAAUGUUCUAUGAUUCUUUCAGUUAUUUUGUUACAGUAUUGGAAGAUUGGCUUGUAAAGGAAUUUCAAUCCUACAACAUGGCUUCUCUGGCAAAGGAUCAUAUCCAAAAAAUUCUAGGUUUGUGUGAUCCAGCUGAAAUGAGACACCUUUAAUCCCUUUGGCUGAAAUAUAGGCACAUCCUUAGUACUUACCUUUAACUCCAAACAGUGAAGGUUAAAAUUAGUUUGCAGAAGGAAGCAGCCAUGUUUGAAAGAGAUGUCUAAUUGAGGUAUAGACAAAAUGACUAAUCAGAGAAAGAUUUGACAGAAUGAGAGAUAGGAUGUAUCCAAGUUUCAGGAAGACAGACAGGAAAGAAAGGCUACUUAAGAGCACUUCAUAGUUGUCAGGACUAGAGGGCAAUUCAGUGAAGGCAGUUCAGUUGAGUUCAGGUGAUACAGUGGAGAUUAGUUAAGUUCCAUUCAGUUAGAGUUCAGUUCACAGAAUUCAAAAGCAGUUAUUUCAAGCAGAGCAAUUCAGUUAGAAGCCAAGAAAAGCCAGUUUGCAUCAGCCAGCUCUGAGAGGAGUUUGGGCUAGUACAGCUAAGUUGAAUCUUCCAGCCAGACUUCAGAAAGAGCUAGAGAAGGUGCUCUGAUUUAACAAUAAACCUUCAAGAUGACAACUAGUCUAGUGGAUAAAAGUUACAUUUACACCUGGAUACAAUUCCAUCAUUUAUGAAAAUACAGUACAGUUUAAAUGGAAUAAUUUAUUAGAUUACCCAUUUAAAGAAUUCAAUUUUGUGUUCAUUGUUUUCCCCUCUUAGUUCUUUCUUGCUGUAGUCAUUCCUCAUAAAUUUUAUUUCAUUUUUUUUGUAACAGAGUAACAGGUAGACCUAAAAGUAGAAAUGAAAUAAUAUGUAUUCUGAGUCUAACUCUGUGACUGCUGGAUUGAUGAUCUUAAAAUAUGUGAUGGACACAUGCAAUCUUCAUUCUUAAAUUCACAAUCUUCUAAGUGAAGUAUUAGAAGGCUUUGAGUUCUUGCAAAUGACAAACAUGUUACCUGGUUUUUGCACAGCUUCAGAUAUUUAGAAAACUAGAAUAAAGAACUCUAGUUGAGUUUAAGACUAAACAAAAGCCCGGUAGGUAAGAAAAAGAAAGAUUUUUUCAUGUCGUUGAAUGACCCCGAAAGUCAGUUCUAAGGUCAGAAGAGGAUUUACUGGGAAGUAAGUACACCUUACUCUUCUGCCCAGAACUAACUCCUUUUGAACAGGCAUCACGAUAAUUGUAAAAGUAAACCAGAAUAUAACCUCCAUAACUGACUAUUUUCCUUAUUUUCUUGAGGAAUAAAUUUUGAAGGAUAUACAUUUUUAAUUUCUUUCUUGCCAUGGAAGCUGUCAAACACCCUAUGAUCUAUGUCUGUUCAAUGAGUUAUUAGCAGAAAAUUUUAUUAAUAUUGGGGGUAGACUCUCCUGAGAAUUAGGGUCAGUGUCACUGACAUUACUCUUCUUUUUCCUGUCUAUGGAAAGCUGACUGGGAGCAAAGCAGCAUUUCUGAAUACAUUGCUCUAACAAUGUGAAUCCAACAUCAAGAAAAACCCCAACCUAACCCUUCCUGGCCAAUAGCUACCUCUCUUCAGAGAGUGCGUGUGAUAAAAUAUUUAUUAAUGACAAUUAUGAACUGAGUGGUUUUUACUUAUUGUUGAACAAAUAUGUAAAUUCAUAUCAUUCUUGCAUUACAAUUGGCAGUUUAUUAGCCAAUAUCACCACAGAUAAUGUUAAUCUCUAUAUUUUAUUAUGAAAACAAAGAAGCCAUGGAGAGAAAAAGCUUACUUUUCAAGUGCGUGGAUGGAUUUAAGAAACCAGUGGAAAUGGUUUAUAACAGAUAUUUGCAGCCCCAUUGAGUUUAGUGCCUCAUUUCAACACUGUUAGCAGCAGUGAGAACAGCAAGUGUAACCACUCAGUGACUAUUAUUGGUUCUUGCAUUCCUAGGGAUCCAAGUGAAAAUCUCAGUAUCUGGAGUAUCAAACAAUAUGAAAAUUAGAAAACACAAUAGUAGAAUAGUACACAUUUAAAUGCUUUUAUUUGUAUGACAGAGACAUGGAAAUUGUCACAAUAUGUCUUAAAGAGCCUGUAUAUGCAUCAGUGGUUGCCAAAGUUACAGUCCCUUAAACCACCAACAUUCUUCAGGGAAGGCACUUACAUACUUUUGCGUUGGAUAACCUUCCUUGUGUCUUUUAAUCUCUUACUUUCUUGAAGUGCUUCAACUUCUUUUUUACUUUCUUGCCAAUCUUGCUCCCUUACUCUUGUGGUUUGUUUUGUUUGUUUGUCUUUUUGUUAUAAAUUAUAGAGAUUAGCACUCCUGCAAGCGAAGAGUUUAAUAUUGAAUUAACUUCAUGUAGCCACCCUCAGGCAAGAAGCCCACAUGACUUCAAAUGAGACAAUAAGUGAGAUUUGGAAUGUUAACACUUGUAUACUCACAUUAGCAUAUUGAUAUGCUAAAACAAUAUGACAAUUGUAUUUCAUUAAUCAAUUUCUCACCAGAGAUUUAGAGAUCUUAUAUGUUUGAAUUCAUGCAUUUUUGGCAUUAUAUGUAAAAAAAGUCAGUUAUGCUGUGCAGCAAUGGUUCUAAAAGAGCAAAUGGAGGUUUAUGUUUGAACUUCAAAUUCAUAAAAGUGUUAUAUGAUUUGAAGCAUAUAAAUUUAAGCAGCUAAACUUGGUAUAUAUUCUUAAGUUCUGUAUUUUAUAUUAAUUUUAUUUCUCUUAUUCUUUAUACAGCAUUUAUGUAAUCAUACUUUAUAUCAAGACAAUUUUUAAACAUAGAACAUAUAUACUAUUCAUUGAAACAUAAUCAUAGUAAAUAUUUUCUAAAAUAUUUUUUUCUUUAAUUUGUUCUAUAUUCUAAAUUCUCUUGAUCAUUGAACUCCUCAGAAAUGUGUUAUUUCAGGAACCUGAAUACACGUAUAAAUUCGUCACAUACGUAAACAGAGAAAUACAUUGACCUAGAUUGAAAGCUUGAAAUUUAUCUGUGUAACAAAAGGCACAGAGGUUCUGUUCAUCAGUAUUAUUAAGACUUUUUUUUCAGUCUAGACAAAGCAGGGUUCUACAGUCUUUUAUGCAGUUUAUUAAGGUAUCUAACUUCACAAUUGCACACACAAAAACAAUUUUUAAAGGUGAAAAAGAGAUAAUUAAAGAAAGCAAUGAUCACUUAAUUUAUUACAUAUGAAACAUACAAAAACACAUAUGUACUAUACAUAUACACAUACACAUCUACAUCAUACACACACACACACACACACACACACACAUAUAUAUAUAUAUAUAUAUAUAUACAUACACAUAUAAGGGGAAGUCAGAAUUUGUUCAGAGUUAAACACUAGGUUCAAAAUUGCAUGCAUGAGAAGGAGAAUAUUGGAGCAUAUCAAAAGGAGUGACUCACAGGAAGUAAAAAACUUCACCCAAAUUCUUUACUAUCAUUCUUUUUUGGUCUAUUGAUCUUUCCUGGAUUUUAUCUGAUUUUAUGAUGAAAUUAUUUACAGUGCUCAGUGGAAAGAAUAAGUGAUUAGAGUUUUACUUAUUUACACCUACAGAUAUUGAAGCAUAUCAAGGAAUAUGUGCAAUUUUUUUCAUACAUUAAGUUAAAAUGAAAGAAUAGAGUUAGUGAAGAAGAGUUACAUAUGAUUUUUAUUCAUUUAUAUGUAAGUCUAGAUAAGGUUGCCUUUUUAUGGUUGAGGUAAAGAUUUUAUUGUGAUUUGGGGGACAAUUCUUCCUAACUUCAAUAUUUUGUACUUAACAGAAGUCUGAAUAUAGUACCAUCUUCUAAUUAUCAAUGCAUAUUAAUUGACUGAAGUCCAACAAUGCAUCCUAUAUUCAGAAUCAAGUGAAAGUAAUGCUUGGGCUUGCUUUUGGACUGUUACAUCUAUCUAUCUAUCUUCUCUCUAGGUCUCUCUAUCCUUGCAUCUAUUACCUAGAUCUCUGCUACUUGUUUUUGAACCAUGGAGUACCUUCAGUCACUUCCUCCAGGUUCCUGCCCUGAGUCCUUCUGUGACUUCUUUCACUGAUGAAGAAACCCACAAACCCAUAAACUAAACCUUCUCAUCCUGGGUAUGGACAAACCCCAAACUCGCCAGGAUCUUCACAGGUACUUUAGGAAACUGUAAUCACUUUUAGUUGAACAGACAUCUAAAUUUUAUUCAAAUAAUUUUCUUGAAAUGAUAAAAAUUUUAGAAUAUUCGAAAUAUCUCAUUACUUAUUGUAAAAAAAUUAUUUGAUUAUCUUUUUAUAUAACUAAUUCUUGAUAACUUUUAAAACCACGUCUAGACAUGUCAAUCAAGCUUAUCUCAAACCUGUUUUCCUCGGGCCACUACUUUUUAUUUGUGCAUACAAGCCUUAAUCAUUACAUCUAGUCAAUGGGAGCUAGAUUUAUGAUCUUUAGUCUGGAUCAUUUUGACUCAGCACUGGAGUUCUUUAGCAUUUGUUCUUUUUGUCACUAGAUGUUCUCUGCUUAAAACAUCCAUCUAUUACUUCCGGAAAUAUCUAUAUUUCCUACCAAAGACAACCUAGUGUAGAGUAUAAUGUAUUUGUUUUAUUUAUUUAUUUAUUUAUUUAUUUAAUUUAAUUUAAUUUUGUUGUGAAGUUUAAAUAUUCCUGCUUCAAUCAUGAGAAUACUGGGACUUUAGUUAUGCACCAUCAUACUAAUGCCAAGAAGAUUAUUUGGAAAAGAAGUUGACAGUUAUGUGCUUGCACUGUGUGCUUAUAUGUGUAUGUGUGUAUGUUUGUAUGGUUGAAUGGAUGUGUGUGUGUGUGUGUGUGUGUGUGUUUGUGUGAUUUUAUUAUAUAAAUAUCUUGAGACACAUAAAGUACAUUAGAUUUACUCACAUGCCCAAAAGUCUCUUUCAAGUUAUAAUUUUCUUCCAAAUUUUAACCAUUUGCAUAUUUUUAUAACUUUAUCAAUACAUUAACUUUGACUUAUUAUCUUCAAAUAUGUGGACAUUUAACCUCAGUAGGUGAUGGGUUGUUUUCUAGCUCUUUUGUUUGCUUUUACUUUGCCAAAUUUCAUUUGCUAAAUGUUUCAUGUAAUUUACUUCAAUAAUUUCAAAACAAUGUGUGAUGCUGAAAAAAUAUUGUAUAAUUGUAAAAUAACUGUUAGUGAUCUAGCAUUUAUGAGGUUCUUAGGUUGCAUCCUAGUACCACCACCCAUGCAUAUGCAUACACAUGCACACACACACACAUGCACAUGCAUACACAUGCACACACACAAAUGCAGAUCUCAUUCAUUGUCAGUUUUCCUAUUUUAGAAACUGUAGCAGAACUUUUUUGAUUCAUUUGCAGUUAAAUAUUUACAUAGAGACAUGAAUGUUUACAGGAGCUUAGGCCUUGAUCUUGGACUACCACAAGCUAGUUCACCUAACUCAGCUUUAUUUUUGGUUGUGAGCCUAGCCUUUAACGGCUGAGCCAUCUCUCCAGCCCCUAACUCAGCUUUAUUAUCCUAGCCCACAACCUGCCACAUGGGUACCUCUCUCUCAGUCAGGGUACAUUUAGCCACCUCUAUCUCUUGCUAGCAAACCCCACUGCCUCCGAUUCUUCCUAAAUUCCCUCCUUCCCUUCCCUGCCUUACUAUUGACCACCAGAUAUUUAUUAAGCCAAUGAGUAGGUGAGAGAGGAAGAGUGUUUACAAUAUACUGCAGCAGAUGAUGAUCCAUAAAACUAACAAUACCAGAAUCCAGCCAGUCCUGAGCUCUCUGCCAGUACAGCAAUCAAUACUUGAAUAUACAGAGAAACCAGUCACACAGUGCACCCCAACAGGAAGUUAACUUCAUAGUAUGAACACAAGCACAUAUUAAAUGCAAUCUCUAAAAUUGUAUAACUUUAAUUAUUAAAGCAUUCCAUGUACUCAACUUAGCCUACUGAUGCAUACUGUGAAUAUAUAUGCACCGUUUGAGGCUGGGUGAUCUUAGUUCAAGAUGAUUAUGGGAGACCUAGAAAGACCUAGAAAGAGAACCUUAAACAUAAUGACAUGUAGACAUACAUGCAACAAAAUACGCAUAAUGAACCUAAAGGACAAGACCAAUAAAAUUAUAUUAAAUAUAUAGAAUUGUAAAGAUUAAUAAAUUAGCUUAAAGACAUUAAAUUUUGUUUUUUCUCACUAUAAAGGAGAAAAAUAAUUUCAGAAGUAAAUAAUAUAAUCAUAUAUAUGAAAAAAGUCACUAGUAAUUGUAUAUAAAGAUGACUAUUAGUUUAUAAAAUAUUUGUUUAUAAAAUAACAUUGACAGCUAAUCUAAUUAUGUAGUUCUAGAACAUAUUAAAGAUAACAGAAUUGUAAAAAUAUUCAACUUCAUUAAGGGAAUGCAUUGAAAAUGUAUAUUGAGGUAUGAUUUCACACAUGGUAAAAAGGGCAAAAUCAAACACAUUAUUUGUUUUUAAGUAUGAGGUGAUUCUAUUUUUAAAUCAAGUUUUUCAGCAUCUGUGAUUUAUUAUCUUAUAACUUUUUUUGAAUUUUGAAUACCAAGCCUCAUCUGGGCCAUUCUCACAGAGGGUUAUCACUCUAAUAUUGAUAUUUUAUCUAUAGCUAUUUGAUAGCUGUUGAGGAAGAAACAUUCAGUCUUUUGGAAGUUCAAAAAUAUUUUCAAAGACAAAAACCUUUCCAUAAAAUAGAAAAUGUUAGACUCCCUUCUCUUAUCCAUGCACCACCCAUCUUCCCUGAAUGCUGAGUUCUCUGGGGCACCACAGCUGCCUGAGCUACUUGCUAACCCCCAUGGUAUCCCACCACCUUUCCAACCGCCUUUAUCAGACCUGAAGAUCCAGAAGCAUACAGGUUAGACUCCCUCCCACACCCAUUUUCCCUCCGGAAGGAGUUUUCAUGGAAAACCCUUGCUGCCCUGAGCAACCUGCUAGACACCCACUCUCUUAACACCUCUUAUCCCAACUUCCUCAGACCUGCUGAUCUGGAACCAUACAGCACAAGGAUAUGCUUCAGUGGCCUGAUACACUAGGAUCAUUGAGGUUAAGGCUCCUCCCAAUAUCUCCUACUAUAGGAGCAUCCAGGAACUAAAGCCACGCAGGUGGCUAAAGGUGCUUGAAUGAAUCUGGUCAAUGAAAGUCGGGACAAUAUUACUAUGUUAGCAUACAACUAUCUUACCCAAGCCCCGGAAGUCCUAGCACAACUGAAGCACAGGAAAAUGACCUUAAAUCUAGUUUCAUUAAGCUUUUAAAGAGGAAAUGAAUAAACCCCUUAAAAAAAUACAGAAAUUUGCAAACUGGUAGAGGCCUUUAAAGAGGAAACAAAUCUCUUAAAGAAAUACAGGAAACUAUAAUGAAAACAGAUUGAGGAAAUAAAUAAAAUUGUUCAAAAAUUAAAAAUGGAACAGAAACAACAACAACAAAAGAAAAACAUAAACUGAGGGUAUCCAGGAGCUGGGAAACCGAGGGAACAGAACAGGAAAACAGAUGCAAGCAUCAUCAACAGCAUACAAUACAUCGGAGAGAGAAUCUCAGGCAUAGAAGGUACAAUAGAAGGAAUUCAUACAUAAACCAAAGAAAAUGUCAAAUCUGAAAAAUUCAUGACACAAAACAUCGGGACAUCUGGGAUUCCUUGAAAAGAGCUAACCUACGAAUGAUAGGAAUAGAAGAUAAAGGGUUAGAGCUCCUGGUCUGUGACCCUGCUACCUGUAUAGUAGAGGACUGUUACUGUUGGCCAGAGGAAACACAGGGGAAUCCCAAAAUACCAAGGGUGUUGCCAAGGUUAUAUGUUGUUUCCUACUAAAUGACAAUAAGGCCACCUUGCUGAACUAACACCACCAGAACUCAUUGAAGAGGGAAAGCUUGAAAUGGUGCCUGAUGACAGAGAUAGUGCCUUCUAUAGUCACCAUACUGGCAAAUGUUCUUGGUAUGGUAGGUUUCUGUGUGCUACUAAAGGAGAAACAUGAACACUAAGCCAACUACAAACCCUAGAAUUUAUAAUAGUGUCCUGUCUGCAGCAUAUAUUAGAGUAGGUCCCCCUCUCAAGGCCUGUCCCCACCCAAGUACUUCAAGUCUCUGCAAGGCUAGCUGCUUCCUCUCUGACUGAAGCCAGACAAGUCAGCCCAGGUAGAAGAACAUGUCAGCAUAGAGCUUUAGGGAUAGUCUCUUAUUUCAGUCAUCAGGAACCCACAUAAUGACCAUGCUGCACAUUGGCUACAUAUGCAUGUGCAGACUGAGGUCCAGCCCAUGUAGGUUCUUUGGUUGGUGGUACAGACUUUGAGAUCUCCAAAGGUUUAAGUUAGUUGACUCUGUUGCUCUUCUUGUGAAGUUCCUAUUCCUUUUGGGGCGUGCAUUUCUUCCUCUUAUUCUUCAGUAAGAGUUGUCAAGCUCUACCCACUGUUUGUCUGUGGGUGUCUAUCUCUUUCUGAAUCAGCUUCUGGGUGGAGCCUCUCAGAGAACAACAUGCUCCUGUCUGCAAGCAUAACAAAAUAUUAAUAAAGUAAGGAAUUGGUGCUUGCCAAUUAGAUAAGUUUCAAGUUAGGCCAGUUGUUUGUUGGCCAUUCCCUUGGUCUUUGUUCCCUCCCCACUGCCUGUAUUUCUUGUAGACAGGAUAAAUUUUGGUUGAAAGUUUUGAGGGUUGGUUAGUGUCUCUAAUGCUAUACAAGGGUCCUUGCCUAACUAUAGUGGACGGCUUCUUCAGGAUCUAUAUUACCAAUGUAGUGAGUCACAGCUAAAUUUAUUGAUUCUUUGGCACAUCUUCUAGCCCAGGUCUUCCUGGUUAUGUGGAAGGAUUAUAUGAGGGAGUGAAUGGGAAGAAGGCAGUAAUCAGUAUGUAAAAUGUAUAAGUUUAAAAAUAGAGUUAAGAUAAAAAUAUGAUACUAUUUUGGUGGGACAGAACUUAUGGGAGUAACCAUCAACUAAUCAAUUUGUUUUGAGGGUCAUCCAUAAGACUGAACCCAUACUUGAGGCUAACUGGGUAAUCAAGUAUCUGAGAAUGCAUCAUCCAGGGACCUAGGGGAAAACCAAACCCUACUGUACAAAAUUAAUAAAUGUAUUAAUUCUGUACUCAUGCAUUAGUGUUUUGCUCAGCCAUCAUCAGUGAAGCUUUCUACUUGAACAAAAAUACAGAGAUACACAGCCAAAUAAUAAGCAGAAAAUAUGACAUCUCAAAGCACUCAAACCUGAAAGGGAUGUGUUCAUCCUAUCCCCCUUCUAAGGUCUUGCAGAAGAGAAGGCAGAAGAAGUAUAAGAUUCAGAGGCAUAGAAGACACCAAAUAAACAAGACCAUCUAAAUACAACACAACUAAUAAAAAUAUAAUUCACAGGGAUUGAGGCCACUUGAACAAGGCUCUCAGAGGUCAACAUCGUUUGGGACCCUAGAGAUGAAAGGAGAAGUCAACAUGUUCCAUUCCCAGUACAUGCACUAUCUCUGAUCGAAAACUAUUUAAAAAUGCAAAAUUUCCUUCUUCAAGGGACUGCUCUUAAGAGUAGUUUGCUCGUCCAGAAGUAAAUGGCAAACAGAAAGCAUACUUAGUAGCAUUAGAUUCUUUGUCUUACAAGGUCAUGUCAGGGUUUUUGGUUUGGUUUGGUUUAGCUUAUUUUAACUUUAUUUUGUUGUAUUUUACUUCUCUAUUAUUUACUCUGCAGGUUUUGUGUAAUUGCUGUGGUUUCUGGUUUUGUGUUCAAAUGGGAUUCUGAUAUGUGUAAACAAGUGUGCCUUUGCAUCUAUAUCUGUCUUGUGUCUUUUCCUAGGCUGUCUUCCUCUGCUCUGCUUGUUCUAUUCUAAUUUGUUUUCUUCCUUUACAAUCUUAUUAUAUUUUAUCACAUUUUAUUUUACUAUUAUCCCCUAGAUGCCUGUUUGUUUUCCAAUGAAAUACAGCCAAGGAAUGCAUCCAGAUGGGAGGGAGGAUAUGAGGAACUGGGAGGAACAGAGAUAGAGAAACAGACAAUGUAGACAAUGCUGUAAUUAGAAUAUUUUAUAUGAAAAUAAAAUCUCCUUUUCACAGAAAAUAAAAAUGUAACAACAAACAAAAUCAACACCAAACAGUUGGAGUUUUGCCAAGUUCCAGAUAAGUAAAAUCAAUUGAAAUAACUGAGGGAGAAAAAAUGGACUAUAUUUCCUGGGGAUACGGUUACUGCUGAUGUCCGGGUUGUUUGCAAGGUUUUUAAAUAUUUGAAUAAAAACCUGUUUAAAUGAUCUGGAGAGCAAAUGAAUUAAUGUGAUAAAAAUCUUAAAGUAAAUUGGAGCUUUCACGAUCAAGUUUAUUCAAGACAGCACAAGUGGAAAAUUAUUUAAUGGCUUUUCAUGUCCAAUGAUUCAAAGAAAACAAAUUAUUUCAAUUUAGGACUACAAAGUCAACCAUUUAUUUAAAUACAGCCAGUUUUAUUAAAAAUGCAAGUUACACGGUCUGAUAAAAAAAAGCAAUCAUAAUGGUUUCAGCAUAUUUACACCAGAAAGAGUCCACAUUGGAUUCUUUUCUCAAAUAUGGUGGAACAUUCUAGUAUUUGCAGUUAUCAAAGAGGUAUAUUACUGGAUAUAUACCUAACACUUAAGCAUAAUAAAAUAAAUCCUUAUCUAUUUUUGUCAAUAUAAUUCUAUAGCAUUUUUGAAAUGCGAGACAAAAAUGAUAUUUUCUGCUUUUUAUAAAAUAAAUCUAAGAAUAAAUAAGAGUAACAUUAUUUGAUAUGAAUGUAGAAGUCUGAGGUUCUGUUUCUCAGGAAAAAGAGAAAGAAUUGUGAUGUCAAAUACACAGAGCCAUUUACAGCUUAGUGUAGGCUACAUAGUGAAAUCUGGCCUCACAGAAGAAAGGAAAGAAGGAAGAAAGGAGAGAGGAAAGAAAGAAGGAAAAGAAGUCCAGAUGAAAAAUAACAUGUGACACAUGUCUAUCUGCAUCUGGGUGAUCUUGGGCAAUAAAACUUUUUAAACUUCUACUCUUUUAGUACAAAUUUCAUGAUUAUAUUUUUCUUUACAGCUAAAUAGUAUUCCAUCACCUCCACACAAAUACACACACGCAAAAAGACACACACACACACACACACACACACACACACACACACCACAUGAAUAAUGUAGAAAUGUAAAAAACCAUGGAAUAAAAGGCUAUAAAUUUGACUAGAUAAAGAUAUAGAUAUACAGAUGCACACACAUAUAUAUGAAUAAUGUAUAAAUGUUGAUAAAUGUAGAAAAAGGCUAUUAGUUUGACUAGAUAUAGAUAGAAAUAGAGAUAUAGAUAGAUAUAGAUAUAUAGAUAUAGAUUAGAUAAAGAUAGAUAUAGAUAUACAUACAGACACACACAUAUAUGAAUAAUGUAUAUAUGUUGAUAAAUGUAGAAUAAAAGGCUAUUAAUUUAACAGUGACAGUGAAUGGACACGGAAUGAGGGAGGGGUCUAGAGAGGGUAUGGGGUUCGGAAAGGGAAGAAGAAAGUGAAAAGUGUUGUAAUCACAUUUUGAUGAACAAUAUAUUUAGAAAUGAAAAAGAAGAAAGAAAAAAGAAAGUAGAGGGAUGUUCAAACAACAUACAGGUAGCAGUGCAGAGGAAGGGUGAACUUGGACCAUCCGAUGUACAAGGUGGCUCAGCUGCCCAGGAAUGGCAGUCUUUUUCACAUCGUGUCUGUACGUGUUCCUUUUCAGGUAGGCUUUUCUCUGUGAUAUACCCAUGUCUUUGUGCUCAGUUUCCUAUGUUUGCAGUAAUGGCGCAUAGAUGGCACAGAGUAGCCUCCUGGACAGUCUCUACAACCUGACCCUUUAACUCUGAGAGCUACAGCUUAGACUUACAUUUCCUCCCCCAUAUUCCUGUGGCAGGACAUGGACAGCCUGUUGAAUCCUGUCCCAUAGCACAUCACUAACCAUUGGCACCUGCUGUGAUGCUGUGGAGUCUCCUUUCAGAAAAAGCCCCAAACUCCCUUUAUCGGAAUCUAUCAGGGAGGCCGAUGCUGGUGUCUUAACAAAUCCACCUGCAUGUCUGGCAGAAAAGAAAUUUCUGGAAAGCUGAGAACUUUUUGCUAGUUCUCAUAAAGUAAAAGGAAUAGAGUAUAAAUAUAAGAUAAUAGAAAUAAAUAAGAUCGUUAAAGACACAUAGAUUGGCAGUUACAGUAACCCAGAUCGAAGAUGGUUCAAUUAAAAGACAAAUUAAGGUGUUGGAAUGACGGCUGAGCGAUUAGGAACAUACAUUGAAAUUGCAGAGUUAUUAAGUUUACUCUCAAGCAGCCACAUCAGAUAAGUCACAAUUGUCUUACUCCCACUUCUAAGAUACCUCUACAAGCAUCAGUGGGCAUACAGGCACAUGCAGGGACACACAUAUUCACAUAAAGAAUAUAAGUAAAUACAUACUUUCUUGAUGACAGACUAAAUAAAAUAGCCAAAAAUUUACUGAUGAAAGUAUACUUGAAAGACAGUCACUUAAAAUAUAAAGAUAAAGUUAGGAAGAAUAUUGGACUGAAUAUCCAUCAUGAACGGCUAAUUUAAAAGCUGCUAGUGUACAAGUAUCAAGUUUUUCACAUUGUCUCAUUCAUCACCGUUGUCAUCGUCUUCACUUGUGUGUGUGUGUGUGUGUGUGUGUGUGUGUGUGUGUGCUUGCAUGCACUAGUGUGCCAUAACACGUAUGGAGAUAGGACAUAUGGAGAUUUGAAGACAGCUUUGCAAAGUUGGUUAUUUAUUUUCACCUUUAUAUAAGUUCAGGGUAUGGAAUUUAGAUUAUCAGGCCAGCAUGGCGAGUUUUUCUAGGCUGAGCCAUUUUCCCGGCCACUACAUUUAUUUCCUUGUAUUCAGUCAGUACUCAGAGCUUUUAACUAAUUUCUUGAACUAUACUUUUGAAUCUGUCGGUGCAUUAAGUGUUUUAACUUUAGAAUUAAAGCAAAAGUAAAUGAGUGAUUUCCAAGGGAAUAUAGUUUUCUUGUCUUGAGUAGGCAGCAAAUUCCAACCCACUUCAACAGUGUUAAGUUGCCAUUCAUAUUUAGUGAAGUUGUAAAAGUCAUAGUGUUGCGAAGACUUCCUAUUUCAAAGAACUUUCCAUUCUUUAAAUAUUUCAUUGUUUUCAACUUUCUGCAAGUUAAAGAUUUAGAAAGUUGGAUGUACUUCAACAUUCUUGCUUUCAACAUGAUUAGUUUUCUCUGCAAGGAAGGACAUUUUGACACUAGGAUAUUUCUUCGCAGUGUGUUUUUAAGGCACUGCUUCUCAGGGGCCCUGCUUGGCUCCAAAGUCCCAGGAAUCCUCCAUGAUUAAUUUGGGCUGAUGAACCAGGACACCAAGGUCCACAGAACUGAGAUAGCUCACAGGGUAACUAGAUUUUCUAUUAUUUUUCUCCUAUUCAUUAAAUUUGACAUUUCUGAGAUGGAGUGUGAUUUACAACCAGUAACUUCACAGGCUAUGGAAAAUGAGAUUCCCGAAAUGUAUUAGAUAUCGUCAGAAAGUGAAGUGAACCUAGAGUGCAUACAGGCCAAGCCAAAUCUUUAUAGAGAAAGUCGUUUUUGGAUUAGAAAGGGCUCAGAUUAUAAUCCUGAACAGCGUAUUCUAUAGUCCUGAUAAUUAGAGUCUGACAGUCAUUUGGAACGGAGGAUUCAUUUUGCGUAUAUGCCUUCCACCUAAAACUGUUCAAAUAGAAAAUGUGGUGAAUUUGUUCUGUGAUGUUGGGUUUUUUCUUCAUUCCCAUGCAGUGCUCUCACUGGCCUUGUCUUGCUGACUGUAGUAUAGUACUUUAUAGGCAAAACUAGGGGAGCAUUUUCAAGUGGGUGCUCUCUCAUUCCUUCUCUUACUGGCCUGUUUGUUUCCUGCUGCACCAAAAUACUGAGUAGCUUCUAUGAUCCCAUUCUAGUAUAAAGCUUGUUAUUUGAUUAUUACAGGAGUCUAGAUUAUAUAUGGAAGUUGAUUAAAGGGAUUGCUUUAAAAUUCCUUCUGUUUACUCAAGUUCAUGCUGUUUGAACUUGAUUCUUUAGAAUUAUGUUAUACAGACAAGUAAUUUAACACUGGAGAGUGUUUUGUUAAAAAAUAUGCCUUUUCAAAGAUGAAGAAUUUAUCAUUAUGAAUGACCUCUUGAUUAUUCUCACAUUAGAAUGACAUCUGUUGGAGUAAGUAGAAAUGAAACUACAUAGGGAAAAAAAUGUAUACAACAAAAGUAUAUUAACAUGAGAGACUUAAAUUAUAUAUUUCAAAAAUAGGAAGGGAGUAAGCUCAGAUAGCCAAAGUAGUAUCUAGAGAAACAACUGCAGAGGAAUCCCAAUAGCUAAUGUCAAAUUAUAUCACAGAAAAAUAAAAAUAGUGCAGCAUUGUAUUGGCACAAAAACAGGCAUGUGGAAGAAUGAAAUAGAGCAACUAAUAUAGAAGUAAGCCUGCAGGGCUACAGGUGUGUUGUUUUUGACAAAGAUGACAAAAAUAAACAAUGAAGAAAACUGUCUUCUACAGAUGAUGCUGAGGAAACUGGAGAAGCACCCACCACCUCUGUAACCUGCAUUGACUUAAUUUGAAAGAUUUAAAGCAUGAAACAUAAAAAGAGAGAAAAUGCAGCAAGCUAUGCCAAGUAUUGAGAAAUGGGAUGGAAAGGGUGUUAAAAGCCUCUGGACAAAAAUGGAAACAAUUAAUUGAAUGAAGUAAUAGCCUAUAUGAUAAGAAAUAAUCUAUGUCAAAAGUCGUUGGGCAGGAUUAAUAAUUAUAACACAUAAAGAACUCAAAAAUCUUAAGGUAAACAACAUAACAUAAUUUACAAUAUGCUGGUAGACUGAAAACCCAGUUCUCAAAAGACAGAGGAGGGAUAGAUGUAAACAUGAAAAAUAUUCAAUCACAAUAGCAAUUAUGAAAAUAAAAAUUAAAACUAUGAAAAUUCUAUUUCACUCUGGACAGAAUAGAAACAUUCCAUUAAAAUAAUGCUGCAGAGAAGGGAAUUUCCACUGUGGGGAAAUAAAGUUGAUCUAGGCACUAUAGAAAUCAUAUGGAGGUUCCUCAUAAAGAUGUAGGGCAGUUACUAUAUAUCCAUUUGAGCAGCUAUGAGAAGAGUAUUGAGAUUAGUAUAAGAGAGAUAAGUACAUAUUCAUGUUUACUGAAGCCAAGUUAUUUGAGUAGCUAAAUUUUAAUAUCAGCUCUGGUGCUUGUCCACAGAAGAAUAGUUAGAAGAAAAUAUGGCUCCUUCAAUCCUUCCUUCCACAAGACUCCCCAAGCUCUGUCUUAUGUUUAGCUCUGGAUCUCUGUAUCUAUUUCUAUCAGAAGCUAAAUGAAGCCACUCAGAGGACAGUUAUGCUAGGUGCCUGUCUGCAAGUAUAAUAAAGUAUCAUUAAUAGUGUCAGGGGUUGACUCUCUCCCAUGGGAUGGGUCUCAAGUUGGGCCAAUGGGGAUGGGGGCUGAAGGGGUCAAAGACACAAGAUCUACAGCCCAUGGGGAUCACAAAACCUGAACUACCAACCGAAAAGCAUGCUUGGGCCCUACACAUAUGUAGAAAAUGUGCAUCAUGGUCUCCAUGUGGGUUUUCUAAGAAGUGGAAUGGGGGCUGACUCUGAUUUUGUUGCCUUCUUUGGAUCACUUUCUCCUAGCUGGGCUGCCUUGUCUGGUCUCAGUGGAAGAAGCUACAUCUAGUGCUGUCCCUACCUGAUAAGCCAGAGUAGGUAGGUACCCAUGUGGAUGCCUUCACUUUUCAGAGGAGACAGGAAAGGGGGAAGGUGCAUGAAAAGGAGACUGGGAGGAGAGCUAAGAGGGGGAACUGCUUUAUGGAUAUAUGUAAAGUGAUUAUGCAAAUAAUCUAAUGAAAGUAAUAGUUAUUGUUUCAAAGUGGUGCAAGACUAGAAAACUACAACGGAGCAAGCUCUUUUGGAGAAUUAGAUCGGGAUUUAAGACAGGCACACUGAGUUCAUUCAAUAAAAGAAAGAAAAGGAAGGAGGAGAAGGCAGAAGGGGGAGAAGGAGGAGUAGGAGGAAGGAGAAGGAUAAACAGAAGGAAGGGGAGAAAAGAGGAGGAAGAAGGAGGAGGAAGAAGAGGAGGAAGGGGAGGAGGAGGAAGGGGAGGAGAGGAGGAGGAGGGAGGGGAAGGAGAAGAAAAGAACAUGUGGCAUUAUUACUUCAGGACAAGUCCUAAAUUCUUGAAUAGUUGGCUAACAAAGAAACAGACUCCAUUUUAUUUGCUUCCCUUCCUUUGUUCUGUUUUGGUUUACUUUGAUAUAUAUUUGCUUAUUGGGAUUUUGUUUUGUUUUGUUUCUCUCUCUCUCUCUCUCUCUCUCUCUCUCUCUCUCUGUGUGUGUGUGUGUGUGUGUGUGUGUGAGAGAGAGAGAGAGAGAGAGAGAGAGAGAGAGAGAGAGAGAGAGAGAGAGAAUAUCAUGUUGUUUGGGAAAGGAAGUGAGGAAGGUUCUUUGAGGAACUGGAGAGAAGAAAGUGUGUUAUGAGACAUACUUUUAUUCACCCCAUAACAGAGAAAAGGACGGAAAGCAAAUACUAUACCAGUGUUUACUUUGGUAAUAUAUUUUACUAAUAUAUUUGUUGGUGUUUGUUUUUUGUUAUUGAAGUUUGUUUAUUAAGCAGAGUGUCACUGAUGGGAAUAUCACCUGAAAACCCACCAUGGGUGAUAAUGCCAGAAAAUCAUCAACAUUGGAGCUUUCUAUGCAGCCUCUAGGCAGCUCAAUAGUCAGAGCUUCCUCCUCCUAUUGUAGUUUGCCUGGUCAGAAUCUCCACCUGUUUAACUACUUUUUAAUGCUAUUGGUUAGGGCUACUAAAGAAUGUUCAGGUAUUCAAUGACUAUCCUCUCCGGAUGGGGAUAUAUGUAUUUUAAGGGAAUGUUGUAAACUGAGAAACAUGCUAAACAAAAGUCAGCGUCUAGUUGGGAAUAUGUGUAUGUAUAUGCAGAUGCCCAGAGACUUCAGAAGAGGUAUCAAAUCCCCUAGAGCUGGGGUUACCUGUGACUGUGACCUGUCUAACAAGACGCUUGAACUCUGCAAGAGCUGCUUGCAUCUUUACUGCUGAGUCAGCUCCUACCACAGAAUUUUAUUUAACUGUAAAAAAAUAAAACUAUGCCGUUUUCCAGGAAAAAAAAUGUGUAAUACUUUAACAAAGUAGGUCGGAGAUACAAAAAGAAGUGUAUAAGUAUUUUCUUAUUCAGAACGCACACACACAUACACACAUAACAACGCGCUCACAGGAAGAAAAUGGUAAAGGCUGGGUAGAAAUUUAAUAAAUGCUAAAUGCUAUACUUGAAAUAAAUUAUUUGAAUUUCAACACUAUAUACAACUAAUAGACUAAUAAAGCAUUGGAAAAUAUAUGAAUAAUUAUAAAACUUAAACAUUAAAUAUUUUCUUCAAAAAGCAUUAAAGGCAUUUUUUAACUUCUUGCUAAUUAAAAUGUUUAAUUUCCUUGUAUUGGAUAUUAAUCAGAGCAUUUUCUAAUUAGACAUUUUUAAUUAUGUGCUAUUUUUUUAGAAACAUAGUUAAGAUGUUAAUGUUUUCAUAAUAAUUAAGUUAUAUUAGGAAGAAGCCAUAGAUUUAAACCACUAAACAUGUGUAUAUAGAAGUCAAGUAUUCACUAUACAUAAGUGACUUUUUUAACACCAGUCUAAAACUAACUUUAAAAGCAGGUAGAAAAGCUUCCAAUUUUAAAUACUAUAAGUAUUUACUAUAAUUUUACAUUAUUAUUAUUUUAUGAGUUUUAAUAUAAAAUUUUACUGACAUUUCUUUCUUUCUUACUUUUAGGGUUAUAUUGUAAGUCUCAACCUUAGUCUUAAUUAGCAGGAGACUACUGUGAAUGAGACGUGAGACUAGAGAUCGAUGCAAUAGCAAGAGGAUAAUUAAUCUAGCAAACUGGGGUCCGCCUACUUCACGAGGAAAGGGGAUCCCAAAAAGUUCGUUAGUACAGUUUUAUACAUUCCAUAAAGGACAGAUUACAGCGAUGGUGAUUCUUUAGGUUGCUACAAACCAGGGCAGCAUUAGGGUCCUUGAAGUACAUUCCUUUAGAUAAGGUGGAGAUAGUCCUGCUGUGAGGACAGGGCUCCCUGGCAACUGGGCAUUCCAGGAACUGCGCCAGACAAGAUUGGUGUACUCCGUCCUGGAUGGGAGGGCUCUCUGAGGCUGGUGAAAAAAUACCAGCUCUCUCAAUAUAAUAAAAUAGUUUUAUUGAGAAAGAAGGAAGUUGAGAAUACUUGUCUUCUUCACCUGUAAUCACAGAACCUGGGAGGUUGAUGGAGAAGACUUUCCAGGAAUUAGUAGUCAAAUUGGAUACACAGGAGUUCCAUGGCAGCCUUGGGUUCUGGGACAUUGUCGAGAAGAAGGAGGAGGGGGAGGAGGAGGAAGGGGAGGAAGAGGAGGAGGAAGAGGAGGAGGAGGAGGAGGAACAGGAGGAGGAGGAAGAGCAGGAAGAGGAGGAGGAGGAGGAGGAGGAACGGGAGGAGCAGGAGGAGCAGAGGGGGAGGAAGAGCAGGAAGAGGAGGAGCAGGAGGAGGAGGAGCAUCAAUAACAUCAACAUAAUAUAAAUGAAAAAUGGACAAGUCAAAUAUGGAUUUUAUAUAUGAUCAGACUAUCUCAUGAAUCAACUAUGAAAAAUCACUGAUGCUACCACUUUCUUAGUUGUCAAUUUAGCAAACGGUAGUUCCUUCUAUGUUCUUUUCCUGAUAUCUCAACCUACAUUCUGAGAAAGAAUAGUUGGGGGAAUGCUUUAUAUUUAAAAGAAUAGUGACAAAUUUAGACAUUCUGGUGAAAGCAUUGUUUUCUUUAAUCAGGAAUCUUAGAAGAGUGGGGAUAGCACACUUACUGGAGUAACAGAUACAUCUAUCCAUCAAUCUAUCUGUCUAUCUAUCUAUUUAUUCAUUUUGUGUCCCCAAUACUGUUCCCUCCUGGUCACCUCUUACAGAUACCUUCUCCCCAUCCCCCCUCACAUUCUCCCCUGAGAGGUUGGGGCUCCCCUUGGUAUUCCUUAGUCUUGGGCCAACAAGUCUCUUCCAGAUUAGUUACAGUCUGUCCCACUGAGGCCAGACAAGGCAGCCAUAUUGGGUCAUUGAUACAUAAAUACUUUUAAAUGUACUCACUGGUAAUGGGAUAUUAGUCAAAAAGAAACUUGGAAUACUCACAGUACAACUCACAGAACAUGUGAAACCCAAGAGGAAAGAAUAUCACACCAAAGUGUGGAUGCUAUAGUUCCACUCAGUAAGGGGAAGAAAAUAAUCUCUGGGAAGUAGAGGGAGAGGACAAUCUGGGAGAAAGACAGGAGGAGGGAAGGGGAGCCAGUUCAGAUAUGGGAGGAGAUCAUGAGAAGUACAGAGGCUCAGGAAUUUGAAAGUAGUGAGGGCAGUGAGGGGGGGGGACUGUGGGUGGCGACUAGAAAGUCCCAGAUGCCAGGGACCCAAGAGGCUCUCUGGACCAAACAGGGAUGACUUUAGCUGAAAUACUCAAAAAAGGGGAGAGAGAACCUAUACAGACCAUAUCCAGUUGAGGGAUAGGGCCACCACCCACCUCAAAAGUAUUAAUGAAGAAUUCCUCCUGUCAAAAGGAAAUGCAGGGACAGAGUGGAACAGAGACUGAAGGAAAGGCCAUUCAGAGACUGCUCCACCUAGGGAUCCAUCCCAUCUGUUCACACCAAAGUCAGAUACCUUGUUGAUAUCAAGAAGGGCAUACUGACAGGAGCCUGGUAUGGCUGACCAAUACAGAUGCAGAUAGACUGAGCAUGGAACCCCAAUGGGGAAGCGAGGGCAAGAACUCUAGGAGCUGAAGGGGUUUGUAUCCUCAGUAGGAAGAACGACAAUAUCAACCGACAAGACUCCCCUACCCCAAAGCUCCUAGGGAAUAAACCAUUAACCAAAGAGUACACAGGAGGUACCUAUGGAUCCAGCAAGACAUGUAGCAGAGGAUGGCCUUAUCUGGCAUCAAUGAGAAGAGAGCCCCUUGGUCCUGUGGAGGCUCGAUGAGCCAGCGUUGUGGAAGGCUAGGCACUGAGGUAGGAGUGGGUAGGCAGGUGGUGGAGCACCCUCAUAGAGGCAAGAGGUGAGGGAUGAGGGGAUAGGGGGCUUGUGGAGGGGAAACUGGGAAGGCAGAUAACAUUUAAAAUGUAAAUAAAUAAAAUAACCAAUAAAAAAGUGAAACUGUCUCAUCUGAUACUAAGACUCCUCCAGUAUUAGUAUUCUAGUUGUAAUCCAAUAGCACGGGGAUAUGAUCUAAUUCUGAUCUCAAUGAGAGCAUUGUACAAAGGCCCUAAAUUUACAGUUUACUUCUUUUAUUAAUAUGAAAAAUUCUUUAAUUGAAAAUGAUAAUACAAAACUAAUAUUACACAAAAAGUAAAACAAAAGACAGUGAUGAGGAUGUUUUGUCAAAGGAAUCACUUUUGCAACCUAAAACAAUACCCUUAUCAAACUGGACAGAAUUGCAUCCCAUGCCUUAUUAAACCUAUCUCAUUAUGGUUAAGUCUUUGCCUUCCGUAAGUUUACUUCUUAGUAAGGCCUCGGUUUGAGAAUUAUUUCCUCAACUUCACAUAGAGACAUAGGAAUAAGACCGUGUACUUAAUAAAGAAGAGAGAUUAGCUUAUACUUAUGGAAGAUGAGAAAUGUGUUAUAUGGCUUGGUCUUUUGGUCUUUUAACUGAAUUAGAUCUUAGCAAGGAAUAAUAAAUAAAUAUCUUGUAUAUAUGUGCAUUUAUUUGCACAAGUCAGAGAAAAAUACAAAGAGACAGAAACACACACAGGUAGACACAUACACACGCACACACACACACACACACACACACACACACACACAGAGAGAGAGAGAGAGAGAGAGAGAGAGAGAGAGAGAGAGAGAGAGAGUUUAUCUAAUGAACUUUUCAAGGGCCUAUCUCUUAGCCCUGUAAUACAGAAUAAAUUGACAGAAAAACUUUAGGUGAACACAUUUAAAAAUGAAAGAAACAUCAUCAUGUAAACUGACUUGAAAGAAACAUCAUCACGUAAACUGACAUAUUGUGUGAAAUAAAUAACUAAGCACCAGCCCAGCUGCAUUCAUGGUUUGGAAAACAAAGUGAGCCAAUCUGCCUGUCUUUUUAUUAGAAAGGAUGAUUUAAUUUUCUUUAUAUAAAUAUCAAAUGUUAGUGAGUGGAAAAUGGUUUUGAAUUGCUUAAUAUAAAGUAUAGUUUCACGUUUUUUUUCUCUUCUCUCAAUGUGCAGUUGCAGGGCAGAUGUGUGUGUAAAUGUGUGUGAAUGUGUGUGUAUGUGUGUGUGUAUGUGUGUGUGUAUGUGUGUGAAUGUGUGUACAUGUGUGUGAAUGUGUGUAUGUGUGUGUAAAUGUGUGUAAAUGUGUGUAUGUGUGUGUACAUGUGUGUGUAUGUGUGUGUAUGUGAAUGUAUGUGUGUGUAUUGUGUGUAUAUGUGUGUGUAUGUAUGCAGAGCAUAGUUUUGGUGGUAUAAGAAAUUAUAAGGACUAUAACAUAAAACUAGAUGCAUAAACUUAUUAUACACUAAAUAAAUAAAGCUUGUUUGCUUUCAGGAAGCUAGUGAAACUGUGUGCUUUACUGUGCACUAUUUUUCUUUUGUAGAGCAAUGAUUUAUUUCAAUCACAGAAAUGUCUUCAAACAAAUAAGGUUAUAAAGAAAAUAGAGUUGUACUGAAUUAUUAUGGUUAUAUGCAUCUUUUUUCUAUCCAUUUUCCAUCCACUAAUAUUUGAUUUUCCUAUAGAAAAAUUAAAUUACCUAUUUUCUAAGGAAAAGAAAUACAAAUUGGCAUACUUUGUUUUCUGAGCCAUGAACACAAUCUGACCAGUGCUUCGUUAUAUCUGUGAUUAUUAGUAGCUAACAUUGCAUCUAAUUUUCCCUGAAAUUGGCAAUCAUUCUAAUCAAAAUAGUUUAUGUGUGCACUGAUGAAUAAGUUAGGCAGAGAUCCAAAGAAAGUACUUGCUGGUCCUCAAGGUGAACUUGAAUGUCACAUAUAUUGUCCAGGAAGGUAGUUUCCUUGUUAAUCAUCUCUGGCAUUUUGCUUGCACUCAUAUUUAAGUGGUGGUAGACUGGAUAAAGCAAUGUAUCACCCUGAACAAAAGUUCAGAAAAAUGCUCUUAACCUACUGCACUCACUCCUCUCAUGACUCUAUAUUUACUCAGUUGGGAACACCCACUGACAAUUUACAGCAACAUCCAGCCCAACAGUAAUGCUGUCCUCAUGGCAGGGAGAUCUUUUUUCUUUAGGCUUACUUACUUUUUUAAUUGGUUGUUUUAUUAUUAAUGUAUUAUUAAUUUGUUAUUAAUGUAAAUAACAUUUCAAAUGUCUCAGAUCUUCAGGACCAAAGGAACAGAAGUUCUGCUGUGAGGUUGUGCUUCUCUGAAAUUUCUGAAGCUUAUACCCAUGAACUCUCACUAACAUGGCUACCUGAACAUGAAGUAGCUUAGUUGGCCUCUUUAGUUUUUAUGAUGUCCUAACUAGGGCUGCUACCAUUGCUGUAGUGAAACAGUGGCCACAAGCAAGUUGGGGAACAAAGCAUUCAUUUGGCUUGUCCAUUCACACCCGUAGUCUAUCAUAAGGAAAUCAGGAGAGGAAUUCAAACGGAGUGGGAUCCGGAAGACAGAAGCUGAUGCAGAGGCCAUGGAGGAGUGCUGCUUACUGGCUUACUUUUCACUUUUAUUUUAUAUGUACAUAUCAUACACACACACACACACACACACACACACACACACACACACACACACAAACACACACACACACGCACGCACACCCAGUGUGACUCCAUGGAGUGAUAAGAGGAGUAUGCCCCUAUACUUGGCUGCUUCCUCCUCCUCCUCCUCCUCCUCCUCCUCCUCCUCCUCCUCCUCUUCUUCCUUCUUCCUCCUCCUCCUCCUCUUCCUCCUUCUUUCAGAAAAGCAUAGCAGACUAACACAUUUUGGGUGUCUGUUGAAAAGCUGUAGACUAAAGAUAGCUACUUGAAGUUUUUCAUUCUGUAUUUUAUUUACUUCCAAACAUUUUAAGAAAGAAAUAUGUUUGCCCAAAUAUGAAAAAUUGUGAAAAUGUGCCAAAUUGAUUAGAUAGACUAGAAAAAUUGUAGGAACUAGUGACUCUUCUAGAUUGCUCUCUAUGAUUUACUUAGCCUGCUUUCUCAUAGCAGCCAGGACGACCAGCCCAGUGUUGGUGCUAGCAUAAUGCACUGACAUUCCCCAAUUAAUUACUAAUAAUUAGUAACUGAUGUAAAAACCAUCUUACAGCCUGAUUUUAAGAAGGCAUGUUCUCAGUCAAGUUACCUCCCAGCCAGAUGAUUUCAUUUUUAUCAAGAUGACAUGAAAAUACCACAAAUAUAUAGCUACAAAGGCUGAAUUUCUAAAUUUAUUUUAAAUAAGCAUUUCUAUAAUAGCAAUAUGAUAGAAAACUACUCUUUGAGCUACUAACAUUUAGAAAUAUAUGAAUACAAAACACUUUUUAUUGAAAAUGGAUUUUUCCUUCUACAAUACAUUCCAACCAUAGUUUCCUCUCCUUCCAGUUCCCCCCUCUAUCUCCUAUCUAUAUCUCCCCUCUCUCCCACAUCCACUUACGUUGAAUCUCCCUUCAGAAAAGAACAGGCCUCCAAGAGAUGACAUCCCAAACAAAGCAAAGCCAGAUUUAACAAGAAAAGGCAAAAUGCCUCCUGUCAAAGCUUUAUAAGUCAACUCAAUAGAAAGGAGAGACUCAAGAGCAGCCAAGAGAUUCAGAGAAACACCAGCUCCCACUGUUAGAAGUCCCACAAAGCCACUAAGGUAACAGUCAUCUUAUAAAUACCGAGGACCCAGGACAGACUCAUGCAAGCCCCGUGGUUAACACUGCAGUCUCUAUGAAGCCUUGUGAAUUCUGAUUAGCUGGUUACUCGGCCACGUUCUUCUGGUGUCCUCUAUGCCCUCUGACUCCUACAAUCUUUCCUUUCCAUCCUCCAAGGGUUUCCUGAUCUCUCAGUGGAGGAUCCUGAUGGAGACCUCCAAUUUGAGUCUCUACGUAAUGUCUGGCUGUGGAUCUCGGGAGGGUUUACAAUAAAAGGUGCUCUGUAGGAUACUUAAAGAAUCCUACAGCUUCAGAAUCCUCCACCUACGACCUAUUCUGCCUGAAAGAUGUUCUGGGACAAUGAUGGAACGAAAUUUGUGGGAGUGGUCAACCAAUGUUUGUUGAGAGGGAAAACAGGUCCUCCACAGCCUUGAUGGAAAGGCACCAGAGGCUAGAUAACCCAGAGACUUAAGGUAGAACCAUAAAUAGUAAAUAAAUAAAUAGCCAUGGAAAUUCCUAAUGACACUCUGCCUUGCUCAGAGAUUGGUGCCGUUUCCGGCCUCUAUCAGAAUAAAUAGCUUUAAAAUAAUACAUUUUCUCUAAUAUGUAUAUCGAAUCAAAUUGGGAAAAUAGUGCUAUUAGGCAAUCUAACAAGUAAUGUUUAGUCACUGUGAUCUGUGAGACCUGAAUACAAUAAUGAAAUUUCUGGUUCAUAUCAACAAUGUUUUCCUAUUAUUCUUGUGAAUUCUCAACUAGUGGGCAUUAUUGCGGUUUGGCAUGCAGUAAGGUCUCAGGAUACCUCCAAUUAAGUCUACUUCUUUACUCGCCAAAAAGGAAAUCUAUCGAGAUUAUAAAAUGUAUUAUAUAGAAUGGUAAAUUGCAAUGUAUAAACAUGUUAAGAAUUAAGAAAUAGCAUGCUCAUUUAGUAGGAAAUUAUCCGUAGUUAAAUUAUGGGCAGAUUUAUUUAAACUCAUUAAGUAUCAUGCAGACACUUAAAAUAUUUACCUAAUAUUUGAAAUGUAUGAAAGUAAGCAGGAUAGUAGGAUGCAUGCAUAACUAUAGAAUAAUUCUCUCCAAUAAGUUGGAUCCUCUAUUUGUAUUGAAUAGUUUUCAAAUAUUAUUACCUCAGAUAAGUAAAAGAAAUUACUCCUUUUAAUUCUAAUCUUCAUAAUAACAGAAGGGUUUGUGUACGAACCUUUCUACUUAUUUUCUUCUGUCUCUUGGUUUUUCUGAUUCAACCUAGAAAUCAACAUUCCAUAUUGCGACUAAAGACUUUUUGUCAUUCUUACAAAAGCAAUUACUAAUAGCUCUUCUAUUCCCACUCUAAAUUCUCAUACGAUGCCAAAGUUUCUGUCAUUUUUGAAAUGUCAAGAACUAGUUCCAAAACGCUAAAAUUGCAUCAAAAUAUUCCUGUUUUCCAAAAUGAAUCAAAUAGCUAUUAAUAAGGUAAUUUGUUGGUUAGUAUAGUCUGACCAGGAAUUUGUGAACACUAGGGUAAAUAACAUUUGUAAAAGCCAGUAAUAAGGAGAAGGGGAAAAAUUUAUCCUGACUACUAGAAAAAUAUAUGACACUGAUUAUGUUUCUUUGCUUGUUUGCCAUUGAAUUUACCAUGUUAGCUAGUCCGUAAGUCUCCAGAGACUCUCUUGUCUCCUCCUCCCAUCUUACUGAAGGAGUACUGGCAUUAUUGGUGUAUUUUUAAACAUCUGACUUAACAAGUGUUCUAGAGAUCUGAACUCAGGUCAUCAAGCUCCUUGGCAUAUACUUCAUACUAUGAAUCAUCUCUCAAGUCCAGGAUACUCCUUUAAACCUAAAUCAGGAUCUCUCCUAAUGAUCAAUGUAUACAGACAUUGACAUUUCUCAGUCAUCCUUAAUUACCCAUCAUCUCAUGGGGACAAUCACACACACACAAAAAAACAAAAACAAAACCAUAAAAGUCGUUACCUUCUCUACAAACAAAAUAAUGGCUUCCAUUUGCCCACUUCAAGUAUGUUGACUUGUUUUUGCAAGGCUCAUUGAAUAGAUCACAGGGGUUAUAGUACUGAUGGCAGAGCCCCAGUGUAGAAGGGUGGGCUCAGAGAUAUGAAUUGCCCAGAGGUAGGAAACUCAAGAUAGUUGUAUUCACGCAUGGACUAGAGACAAAUUCAUUUAUUUCUUCAUCGCAGUUUCUUUCUAUAAAUUCAGAUGGAUAUUCACAACAACAAAAAAGUUUAAAAGAAAUCAUUAACAAUGCAUUUUUAUGCUGAUUCUUUGGAUUUAAUGAAAUUAUUACAUUGAAAUAUAAAUAUCAGGAUAUUUACAUUAGAGCAGGAUUAAUGAACUGUACAUGACUGAAUUUAUUUUAUACUUAAUUUCCUGAAAUUGUUUUAUACAUAUUUUCACAAGACUGUCUGCAGUGACUAAAUUUCAGAUUUUGGAUGCAUUUUGUUAAACUUAGAGUGUAAUCUGGCAUCUGAGACGUAUCAGGCUUUAGGUUUGUAAUGAAUGACCACUAAUAAGAUUUCCACAUUAUUUCUUUAAUGAAAGUUUGCUUUACAGAUAUUAGUGUUUACAAGCAUGAGAUGAUUUUUAGUGCAACAUCCUUAGAAACAUCCUUAGAAACAUAUUGUUCUUUUAGUCAACAAGACAUCUAACAAAUAUCAAAGGCAAGGUAGAAACCACAGCGUGGGAUAAAAUAAUUCAAAAAACAAUAUAAUCAUGGGUAAGGAUUAUGUAUUAAAUAGAUUCUGUGUGUGUGUGUGUGUGUGUGUGUGAGAGAGAGAGAGAGAGAGAGAGAGAGAGAGAGAGAGAGAGAGAGAGAGAGAGAUUUAGUACACCCAAAUUAUUUCAUUUGAGAAAUCACCAAAUAAUAAAACUAAUAAUCUCAGAGCAAGGUGGAGAUAAAUUGACGGCAGGUUUAUAAGCAUUCACUCUCAGCACUGUCUUAGUGUCUUCAUUAAUAUCUGCUGACACAUAAUUUUCACAGAAGCAUUGUUACUCUGUGUGCCUAAAAAUACUAUGAAUAUAAAUGGUGAUUAUUAACUUCAUGAUUAGUGGCAUUUUGUGUUUUUCAAGUUGUAGAUUAUUUUAUACUCUCAGGUCUAAUGGUGCCUUUUGAAGCUACUUCAAGAUACAUAGAAGACGCACUUUUACUACCUAAUUUACACAUGAGAUGGUUAUGAGUGUGAAGGAUAAAGUUAUUCAUCUAGUAUUACGUCUUUUGCAAACAGGGUCAUGGGCUCAUACCUCUUCUGCCAAUAUCCUUAUAGUUCAUAAUUUUAUUUAUUUUAACUUUCAAAUGCAAAAGCAAGGUAUUUAACAGUCUGUGAAAAUAUAAGCUAUUACCAAGUUCCAGUAAAAUAGCUUCAGCACAUUUUAUAUGAAAUAUGGCCACCACUGUAAAUAUAUCAAGUUAAUCAAAUCAUAGGAAUAAAUGAAUAUACUAUUGAAACUUCAUGAGGAUAAACAUUUUUAAAAAUAACCCCUCCUUAAAUCAUAGUCCUUCUACAGCAUAAUCACCGAUGCUAAGAUUCUAGUACAAACUGCUGUAACUUAUUCAUGAUUAUACUUUUCUUAGUCCAGGGUUUCAAUUUGAAUAAAAGUUUUUCCCAAUGAACGAACGGUAGGCAAAUAUUUGGAAUAUGUGGUAAGGGUUUGUUUUCACUUUCAGAAACAGGUGGACCGAGGCUUGCUAUAAUUUUGCCUUCUGGAUGCAGCAUUCCAGAAAGCCUUUGGCUUUCGUGAAUGGGACUAAUAAAGCCAAAGUUGAGUCUUGUGGAGAUGUGACGACUAGUGAACAACAAUCAUGUCUGUGGGUUUAUGUACGUGGGUGUGCUUUCUAUAGGUCAGAGACACUAGUUGUUGAUGGAUAGAGAACUCUGUCUCUCAUAAGAGCUCCAGAAUACCCUCAAAGUUUUCACCAUAAAACAAAUGCCUCAUUGGGAUCUGACAAGACUUUACAACUCAAUUCUAGAAGCAGACUUUGACGUUAAAAGAAAAAUUAUGAAACCCUAGAGUAUAGUUUCUCUAGUUUCCACUUCUAGCAGUGAACACUUGAAAACAAUUUAGGUAUACUUAAAGUUAAAUUGAUAAAUUGAUAUGGUCUACCAUAGUGAGAAAGAUAAAUCCAUUUGUGUAAGGCUAAAUGAAGUAUGCAUAGGUGUUGCAGUAAAAAGAAAAAAAGGGCAGAACAUUCCUGCUGGUACCCUGGUUGUCCUGCUUUUGCUAACUCCGGUUCCAGAAUGCCAUUGAAACUAGCACUAAUUUAUCUCAGAGGCUCGAUGCUGCCCUCAAGUACUGUCUGACCGAGGUGAGUUGUGGUUACGCCAGUUUCAUAUAGAGAUUGCCUAUCUUGUGGCUUUCUUACUGCAGACUCUGUACAUAUUUCCAGCAUCCACCCCGUGUUCCCAGAAGCGGCUACCCUGUCGUAACUCUCUGUAGCUGCUCUGAUUGCAUUCAUCCAUCCCUAAUAGUUAUGGUAUAAACUCCCAACGACCCAUUAAAAUCAGGACUCAACAAACUGCAACCCAACAUUCAGAUUCAUAUGUUAAAUUCUCAGUCCCGCAAAUUCAUUCACACAAUAAACUCACAACCAAUUGAUAAGUAUAUAAACCAUCCAACUAGAUAAGAUAAAUUUGCCUACAGAAAUCCAUCCAAGGUACCGUGGCAAUUCAGGUCUACCUGGAUCUGGAUCAUCCUUCUGUCUCCAUUUUGAUUCUCCUUCCUUCUCCUUCUCUCCCGCCUUCAAAGGCUUUGCCCUGUCUUAUUUUUUACUGUCUAAUCAUGGUCUUGACCUAACUUGUGCCAGCCCUCAUCUGCAUAUAGACAUCAACCCACACAUAAGCAAAGUUCAGGUCAGUUUUCAGUGAUUUAGAGGACUAAUGCAAAAAAAUAAAAUAUAAGUUACAUAUUGUUUAAAAUUUGGAAUAAAACUAUAUUUAUGAAGGAUAUUCAUUUUAUAUAGAAAUAAUUUUAUGGCAGCAUUUAAACAAUAACCACAUUAUAUGUUAAUGUAGAUCUAGAUGUGAAAGAUUUUAAAGAAGUUUGUGUAAUUAAAAAUAGUCCUUUUUGUCCACAUGAUGACAAUAUAUAUGAUAAUAGAAAAAAUUAAAAUAAUUUUUAUGAUAACAGUAUACUGUUUGUAAAUGCACACAAUAGCACAUUAUUAUUAUAAGAAGCUGGGAGGUGGGGCUGGGGAUUUAGCUCAGUGGUAGAGCGCUUACCUAGGAAGCGCAAGGCCCUGGGUUCGGUCCCCAGCUCCGAAAAAAAAAGAACCAAAAAAAAAAAAAAAAGAAGCUGGGAGGUGAGUGGAUAAAAUAUUAGGCAAACAGUUAAAAUUUACAAUUAUAAGUUAUUAGGCUUAAGGUCAACAUUAUGCAUAAUGAGUUAUUAUAAUGAAUAAAAAGUAUGCUUGAGAAUUUCUAAUGAGGUAUUUUUAGGUAUUCUCCUGAAAAGCAAAAAUUGUGUUGAGCUAAUACCUAUGUUAAUUGGUCUUUUUAGUCAUUUUGUAACCUCAAUACACUACCAUGAAUAUACAAAAAUAUAUUUAUUAAUUGGAACAAUUAGUUUAUUAACUAUUUCUUAUAGUAAUUAUGUUAUUUGAAAUAGAAAUUCCAAACAAGCAAGAUAGGAAAAACUAAAGAAGAUUAUGAGUAAUUUAGUAGUAUUCUUUUCAUCGUAGUAUUUUAAAAUUUGACCACAUAGCCAAAGAGAGAAAUACUUCAUAAUUAAAUCUUUUAUUUGAUCUGUAUAUUGAGUCAUCAAUUUAGGCAUAGUAAGAUCCUACGAAAUGAGACAGAAUAAACAUGAAUUAUCAGUAGCUUACUACUGUAAUUUUAAUCCCCCAAUCCCUUUUGGAGAAGAGUGGAAAACCUCUAUAGUAUUGAAUCUGGUAAAAUUAUAAUGAUAAUUUUCAGUGAAUGAUAAUAUAAGAAUAUUUCUGAAGACCAGCAUAGCUAUGUUAAGAUGUUAAAGCACUUCAAAAUAUUGAUGGAGAUGGAAUUUAAAUUUGGAGGUUAUCCUGAAAUUGAUAUCAAAAGGUACAGGGAAUUAGGAAUGCUUUGAGUGGGAGAAGUAGUCUUCUCUAUGGAAGAGCAAACCAAUUUGUUUUCCAAUAUCAAGUGAUCAGCUGUGAAAACAGCUGUGAUACAGACUGGACAAGUUUUAAACACACACACACACACACACACAUAAACAUAUUUAUAUAUGUUUACAUGUGUACCACAUACAUACAUAUGUGUGUGGUACACAUGUAAACAUAUAUAAAUAUAUACAUAUAUAUGCAUUAUAUGCAUGUGAUGUGAUAACAGUUCAUGAAAAACAAGGCUAUUUAUAUAAAAGAGACCAAGAAGAGGUAUGUGGAAGUGUUUAGAUAGAGGAAAGGUAAGCGGGAUAAUAUGCUAUUAAAUUACAAUCUCAAAACCGAAAGAAAAAAUAAACAAGCUUGCAUAUGUCAUAGGAGAUAAACCUCAGUCAUAUUUAAAGCAAAAGAGAAAAAUAUGACAUCAACAUAAGGCUUUGAAGAAUUUAGGAAACAAUAUGUACAUUGAAAAGAAAUUAAUGAAGUUGCCCAAAUUCUCCUUAAAAUCCAACACAAUGAAGACUAUCAUAGUAAUAUUCCAUUCUCUGGACACAAUAUCAAUAUUAAUUAGCAUUCUAUUGCUUUUAAUAAACACCAUGGCUAUCUUUUAUGCCAACUUGACAUAAGCCACAGUCAUCAAUGAGGAGAGAACCUCAAUGGAGAAAAUGUUUCCAUAAUAUUGAACUAUAGGCAAGCUUGUAGAGCAGGUUUAACAUUUCUGACGGGUGUGAAAGAGCCCAGCCAAUUACUAGUAGAGACAGUCCAGGACAUGAGCAAGCCAAGCUGAGCAAGCUCGAUGGAGCAAGCAACUAAGCUGCAUUCCUCCAUGGCUUCUGCAGGAUCUCCUGCCUCCAGGUUAUAUCUUACCUGAGUUCCAGUCCCAACUUCCUUCAGUGAUGAAACAGUGAUGUAAAAGCAUAGGUCAAAUAGAUCCUUUCCCAACUAUAUUUUGUUCAUGAUUUUUUUUAUUACAGCAAUAGUAUCUCUAACUAAGAUAAUGACCAAAACCAACUUGGCUAGGAAUGGAUUUCUCUUAUAGAGGGACAACAAAACAGGAACUCGAGCAGGUACCUAAAGACAGUAUCAGAUGUGAAGAACAAGGAGGGAUCGUGUAUGCUACCUUGCUUUUUAAUGCAUUCUCCAGGUUGCUUCCUCAUAAUACAAACCCAGGAAUACCUCCCUAGCAGUGGUACUGCCUGCAAUGAUCUGGGCCCAACCACAUCAACCAAGGAAUUCCCCAAGAACCAAGGAAAUUUUCCAUAGAGAACCUCAGGGGCCAAUAUAAUAGAGAAAAAUCCUCAAGAUAUAUUUCCAGUUUUCUUUUUUAAAAUUAUCCCUUGUUUGUAUCUAGUUGACACAAAACAGCAAGCACAUUAUGGAACCUCUCUUGGUUGCUGUUCUAUUGCCAUAAAGAGACACCAUUACCAAGGGAUAUCAUAUUUUAAAAGUAUUUAAUUGGAGACUUACUUCUAUUAUGGUUUCAGAGGUUUAGUUCAGUAUCACCAUGGAAUAGCAGCAGGGAACACAGUGGCAAGCAAGCACGUUACUGGAGAAGUAGCUAAGAUCUGCCCCUGAUCUGUGAAGCCAGAGAGGGACACUGAACCUGAUGUUGUUUUUUUAUCUUUAAAGCCCACCUCAGUGGUAAACUUUCUCCAAUGAGGCCAUACCUAUCAUUCCUUCCAAUUCUUCUAAAUAGACACUCUAUGUUGCAACCAAACAUUGAUAUAUAUGUGUGUGUGUGUGUGUAUAUAUAUAUAUAUAUAUAUAUAUAUAUAUAUAUAUAUAUAUAUGGAGGCCAUUUUUAUUUAAACAACCAUAGCACUGAAACAGUGUAGAAUACAGCUCUCCUAGUUAGUCUUAUUAACUUGAUACAGUUUAGGGUCAUGAAAGAGGAAAUUCUCCAUUGAGGAACUAUCUAGAUCAGACUAUCUUUGGGGCCUGUCUGUAUAGGACAUUCUUGACUUUUUUUAAUUGAAAUAGUAUGACUCAAUCCUAUGUGGCUGGCACCUGAUCUAGACAGAUAAUCCAAUGCUACAUAAGAAAACUACCUAAUUAUCAGCUUGAGGACAAAAGUGCUUCCCAACAUCAUUUCUGCCUUACCAUUUCUUCCUGCUCUGAUGUCCCUUAAUGAUGAAUUGUGAACUGGAAUUGUUAAAAUAAACUCUUUCCCCUGCAACUUGAUUUUGGCCUGAGAGUACUUUCUCACAAUGACAAAAAAGUAAAUUAGAAAAUAACUAAACAAAAAAGCUAUAAGUCAAUAUCUUUAAUGGGUAUUAAAAAUCUUCAGCAAAGUAUCAGUGCACUGAAUCUAAUAGUUCAUUAAAAAGAUUGUUAACCUUAGUACUAUAAUUAAGUGGGAAUAUUAUGACCCUGAGAGCUACUAUGGAAUUUAAUUACUAUAGUUAUUAAUUUUGUAUUAUAUAUUUAAUAAAUAUAAAAGAUAUUUUGUGUAUUUUCACAAUAAAUUAAUGAAGGUAAGGACAUGGAACUUGAUUUAUUUUUGAACAAUUGAUACAUAAUUUGCAAUGCUACCUGUUAAUUAUUAUUAUAUGUAGUCUACAUACCAAUUAGUAAGUUAGUAAAUUAAAAAGGAAUACUUAUAAAUCCUAAUUGUUUGUCAGAGUCAGUAUGAGCUUCUCUUAAAAAAAAUAGUUUCUUUCAUAGUCAGACAAAUUUGCAAUUGAACCCAUUUGCAGCUUACCAUUUAUGCAAUUAUAUGUAUAUCUGCAAAAUACUCACACACAAUACAUUAAAUUAUAUGUGGAAUCAGAUGUAUAAUCUUUCAAAUGAAAUUUAAAAUACAUAAAAUCCCACAUGCUAUUAUUUUCUUUCAAGUUCCGUUUGAGUAGGAGGCACGAUUUCACAAUAAAUAAACAAGACAUAGAGUGUUGCUUAAUGCAUAGAAAGCACUGGGACUUAAAUUUCUGAAUGUUUUACAAAAUAAUUUAUAAAUAUGCACUAUAUCAGGUGUUUUAUGAGAAGAACCAUUUCCAACUUAAGCUCUAACAUCUUCCUUAAAUUACAAAAGAAAAUUAGAUGUGCCUAUAAAAACCUGAACAGUUUUAUAUAUUUAGAAAUAUAUUAGAAUGAAGCAAGAAAUCUAUUUUUUUGAGUUGGGAUAUACUAAGGGCUGUGUUUAUUGCAAACACCUUGGAAGUAAUAUGUAUCAAAAAUAUGUACUCCAAUUCCUCAUAGGCCCUUGGCUAUAAGUAUGCAAUACAAGUGAUCAUAAAAUUUUGCAUAAUUUUGGUUGGCUAACAUUGUAUUAUUGGGAAGUAAGUCACACAGGAAGAAUCUCCCUCGUCUUUUCUUGUGCACAUUCUCAUGAGUUCUUUGAGGAUUUCUUACAGCAUGGUCAUAUUCACUCUCCUUUUCCCAUGUCGUGCUAAGCUUCCCUACUUGUCAUCUUUUUUAUCUUCCCUUCCCCUUUUAGAAACUCAUCUAAGCCACAGGUUAUACUACUCAUAUACUUGGAAGCUGGAGCAAGGUAAACUUACCAGGACCUACACUCUGAGAUAAAAGAGGCUCCCCCUUUUCAAACAUGUUCCAGUUACUAAUAAGUCCUUGGCUCUGGGUAGGAUUUCAUGCUUAACUUUCCUCUGCGUUAGUAUCUUGGCUUGCUUUAACUUGGAUGAGUCUUGUACCUAUGUCACAAUUGUAGCGCAUUUGUGGUGCAGCUGUCCUGAUCUAUGCAGAAGAUAGCUCCUUGCAGACAUCAAAUACCCAUUGUUUUGCUUAUACUUUCCCACCCCCUUGUCUGUAACUAUCCUGAGUCUUGGAAGAAGUACUAUUGGAUAUAUUCCCUUUAAGUAUUGACUCUUCUGCUGCUUUAUUCGCUGGACCUUGUACAAGGGUGGCUUUCUGUGUUGCUCGUCAUCUACUGCAAAUGGAAGCUUCUAGGAGGAGGGUUUGGAGAAGCCUAAAUCACCUCGCUGAAUCUAUAGAGGAUGAAAUAUCUUAAAGAUGACCGCGCAGUUCUCAAGCUCAGCCAGACAGAGGCUUAGUCAUCGCUAUUGCUCUUUGGUCAGCACCACAGACAUCAGGGAGGACAAAAAUGGAGAAAAAAUUUCCCAUUGUUUUGUACAAGGGGUUCUGAAGUAGUUAUACAUAGUUUUGGGACCAAACACAAUGUACAUUUAAUUUCUUCUUUUUUCUUUCCUUUUUUUUUCCUUUAUUAACUUGAGUGUUUCUUAUUUACAUUUCGAAUGUUAUUCCCUUUCCCGGUUUCCGGGCAAACAUUCCCCUAACUCCUCCCCCCUUCUAUAUGGGUGUUAACCUCCCCAUCCUCCCCCCAUUGCCGCCCUCCCCCCACAGUCUAGUUCACUGGGGGUUCAGUCUUAGCAGGACCCAGGGCUUCCCCUUCCACUGGUGCCCUUACUAGGCUAUUCAUUGCUACCUAUGAGGUCAGAGUCCAGGGUCAGUCCAUGUAUAGUCUUUAGGUAGUGGCUUAGUCCCUGGAAGCUCUGGCUGCUUGGCAUUGUUGUACAUAUAGGGUCUCGAGCCCCUUCAAGCUCUUCCAGUUCUUUCUCUGAUUCCUUCAACGGGGGUCCAAUUCUCAGUUCAGUGGUUUGCUGCUGGCAUUCGCCUCUGUAUUUGCUGUAUUCUGCCUGUGUCUCUCAGGAGAGAUCUACAUCCGGCUCCUGUCGGUCUGCACUUCUUUGCUUCAUCCAUCUUGUCUAAUUGGGUGGCUGUAUAUGUAUGGGCCACAUGUGGGGCAGGCUCUGAAUGGGUGUUCCUUCAGUCUCUGUUUUAAUCUUUGCCUCCCUAUUCCUUGCCAAGGGUAUUCUUGUUCCCCUUUUAAAGAAGGAGUGAAGCAUUCACAUUUUGAUCAUCCGUCUUGAGUUUCAUGUGUUCUGUGCAUCUAGGGUAAUUCAAGCAUUUGGGCUAAUAUCCACUUAUCAAUGAGUGCAUACCAUGUGUGUUUUUCUGUGAUUGGGUUACCUCAUUCAGGAUGAUAUUUUCCAGUUCCCUCCAUUUGCCUAUGAAUUUCAUAAAGCCAUUGUUUUUGAUAGCUGAGUAAUAUUUCAUUGUGUAGAUGUACCACAUUUUCUGUAUCCAUUCCUCUGUUGAAGGGUAUCUGGGUUCUUUCCAGCUUCUGGCUAUUAUAAAUAAGGCUGCUAUGAACAUAGUGGAGCACGUGUCUUUUUUAUAUGUUGGGGCAUCUUUUGGGUAUAUGCCCAAGAGAGGUAUAGCUGGGUCCUCAGGUAGUUCAAUGUCCAAUUUUCUGAGGAACCUCCAGACUGAUUUCCAGAAUGGUUGUACCAGUCUGCAAUCCCACCAACAAUUGAGGAGUGUUCCUCUUUCUCUACAUUCUGUUUCUCACUUUCUCCUGUAUAGCAUUUUGACUAUACCUGGUUUGUCUGAGAAGUGGGAUGAAUGUGUUUGCCCACGAAUGAUGAUUUUGUGCUGACCCAACUGGAUCAAAGUAUGCUACAUGCCUUGGAAUUUAAUCCUAAGAACACUUUACUAAUAGAGGUUCACUGGAAUACACUCAGGAUUCUACAAAACCUUCAAUGUCCCAUUCAAAUUUAAGAAAAAAAAAAGGUGCGCCUUAUAUCUCACUUCGCUAAAAUGCAAGGUGGAACAUCAUGUCUCUAAAUGCUUAAUAACAGAACCAUGACAGCUUGGCACUUAGGAAUCAAGUCCCAGAAGCAUAGGUUUGAUACCAGGUUUCAGUAGAUUUGUAGUAAGCAUAAUGAGUCUUUAGCUGCUGUGAAAAUUCCUUCUCUGGGAGAGACUUAAACAAUGCCUACUUCCCCCCUCCUGAGGUUCCAAGCACAAACCAGGGUAGGGACCCACUGAUUUCUAUCUGGGUAACACUUGGGUUUAUUGUACUUCCUCACCUAUUGAUGGGUGAAGGCUUAUCGGCAAAAUAAGAGCUGGCUUAACAUAGUCACCUUGGGAGAGCUGCACAGUACGGGGAUGAUGGCUUCCCCAUGAUUGUGUAGCCGUUUUCCUUCCCCGCCUCACUCAUCAGUCCCACCUAUAUGCUCUGGCUUCUAUCACAAGAUCACAAGAUAUUGGGAUAGGAUUACUUAUACGUGGUUGGGAGGGAUGACUAGAUACUUAGAUGAGUGACCCUUGACCCUUUGAGUGUCCUCCUCCUUUGAGCGAAGGUAAAGAGUCAAGAGGUCCAGCUGUUGGGAUGUUGGAAUAUUCUUUGAGCAGUCUCAGCAAAAUUCUCAAGAUGGUAGAAGUUUGGUUUUGGAGGGCAGUUCUCUGGAACACAGGCAUUUGGGACACUAGUGAUCGAAAAUAGCCAUAUGAAGUUAUGGUAACUACAGAAGUGGGGGGGGGAUGUAGAUCUGUGGAAUUAGAGCGAGGAUGGAUUUCAGGUGAUGAGGGACAAAUAUGACUUAAAGUUACUAAUAGAUGAGAAAGCGAACUUUAUCACUUCUGGCCUCAACUCCAGCUACAGAGUAUGACUACAUGGCGUAUCCUAUUCACGUGCCAUGUAAAAUUAAUUGCAUGGCACAUAUCCCACAAAAAUCAUAAAAAUAGUGUCAUUCUUUGUUUUUAAUUGGUUAUUUCAUUUAUUUACCUUUCAAAUGUUAUCCCUCUUCCAGCUUUCUCCUCUGCAAAACCCCCUAUCCCAUCCCCCCUGCCAAAACCCCCUUAUCCCAUCCCCCUUCCCCCCUGCUUCUAUGAGGUUGUUCCCCCAUCCACCCAUCCACUCCACCUCACUGUCCUGGAUUCCCCUACACUGGGGCAUCAAGACUUCACAACACCAAGGGCCUCUCCUCCCAUUGAUGCCUGAUAAGACCAUCCUCUGCUACAUACGCAGCUGGAGCCAUGGGUCCCUCCAUGUGUAUUAUUUGGUUGGUGGUUUAGUCCCUGGAAGAUCUGGGGGGAGAGAUCUGUUUGGUUGAAAUUGUUGUUCUCCCUAAGGGGUUGCAAACCCCUUCAGUUCCCAUAGUUCUUUUCCUAACUCCUCAAUUGGAGUCUCUGUGUGCAGUUCAAUGGUUGACUAUGAGCAUCCGCAUCUGUAUUGGUCAGGCUCUGGCAGAGCCUCUCAGGAGAAAACUUAUCCGGCUCCUGUCAGUGUUUCUUGACAUCAGUGAUAGUGUCUGGGACUGGUGUCUGCAGAUGGGAUGGAUCCCUAGAUGGGGCAGUCUCUGGAUGGCCUUUCCUUCAGUCUCUGCUUCACUUUUUGUCCCUGCAUUUCCUUUAGGCAGGAGCAAUUCCAGAAACCAGUAAAUACAAUUCUGGUACCUUGCUGUUCAGCUUAGAACUGAAGUUCUUAUUUCUCCAGAGUCUGGGAAUUUUGGUAUUUUACAGCUCUGAAAAAGUGCCCUCAACUUGACAGAACUACUAUACUCGGCAUCAUUGACCAUUUUUGGAGAUUAUAUGAUUAUAGGUAAAUGUAGACAAAGGAAGGGUGUGCUGCCAAGAAUAGCAGCCAUAGACUCAUAUUUGAAUACUUAGGGAGUGGCAUUGAGAGGUUUGGGUCUUACUCUAGUAGGUUUGGUCUUUUUGGAGGAAGUAUAUCCCUGAGCAUGGGCUUUGUGGUUGGGCUUUGUGGUUCAAAAUGUCCAAGCUAUGUCCAAUGGUAAUCUCUCUUCCUGCUUUAUGUAUACUUCCAACCCUGACAAUAAUAACUUAAACCUCUGAAACGUCAUACCGAUUAAAUAGUAUUUUGUUAUAAAUUGCUAUGGUCAGAAAUAGAGUAGAUAUUGUGGGAGGAUGGGGGAAGAUGGAGACUUUUUAAACAUCAAGUUUUGAAAUAUCAAUGAAAGCACUAUACAGUUAUCAAGAGCCUUGUACAAUGAACUUACGGCAUACCAAUCUCUAUGUCCUACUUAGAAUUCUGAUGAUUUCAACCUGUAAUUAAUUCACUAUGAAUAAGUGACAAAUGCUACUAUUCAUCUCCAAGAACUGUACAUAUCCAAUUCCUCAAAGGAUGCAUUGUACAGGGCUUUAUAAUUUGCAAUGGAGAAAGAUGAAAAAUAGGCAAUAUAAAUUAAGACAGCACAGAUUACCUACCACACUUACAGUGAUUUAAAUAAGUGGCAUAUCAUUAUGAUUUACAAAUAUAAUCAAUAAGGCUACCAUAUAUAAUAUAUAAAAUAUUUCAACACUUUUAUUCCAACUAAGUAGGCAUUUCACUUAUAUACAUAUGUAAACAUACAUAUACACACAUACUUCUAGUCAUGCAAAGAUAUUAAGAAGAAUGAUGGGAAACUUUGGAUUAAGUAUUCUAGAUCAAAUUUUGUGCAUUCUCUAUUAUUUGAAUCAAUCUGAAAAGCUUGCUAUAAAGUCCUUAUAAGUAAAAACACUAAAUUUAAAAUAUCUUUCUCACAUUAGCCAAUACUUAUAAAAUAUCUCUGCUUGAUUAAAGAAAUUAUUAUCUUUUGAUGCCUUAAAAGUGAGUUAAUGGAAGAUGGGGGUUUUAAUAUUUUAUAAAAUAUGAAAAUAACUGUAUUUUAUGCAAUAAUUUUAUUAUAGAUCUACUUUCAAAACUCCCUUGGCUAAUGUUGAAAGCUAGUUCUGUUCUGUAGCAAGCAUUAGUAGCCGAAAUGUCUAACCCUAAAGUGAGCCGCCAACUCUUCAUAUUCCUUCAUUAUCCACACGGAUGUUGCUUUGCCCUUUUGGCAUGACUCAUUGGAAAUCUGAGGGUCACACAUUUCAGUUUUCAGGGCAUCUCUGCAUGGCAUCUCUAGGACUGGGCAAAAGCACCACAAUCACCAUCCAGCAGAUAACUUCCUGCCUUAGCUUGGCAUCAGUAAGAAACAGCUGGUGAGCAUGUGCCCACCAUCUUCUCUGGUGUUCAUCUUUGCAAGGCAACAGUGGCAUUGAUGCACUACAGGGAAGCACAUUUUCUCUGCCAAUUGUCUCUGGAAUAGCCUUAGUACAGAACUCGGGGCUUCCUACACAUGUUCCUACAUUAGGCGCUUCUCAAUACAAGGGACCUACAAUAGUAAAGGGUUAUUUUUGCUUCUCAUUGUCAUAGUUCUAAAGAGUAAUUUUUCUCAAUUCUGCACCAUUAUACUUGAUGUUUAUGAAGUGAUUCUCUGGUUUAAUUCCUAUUUCAGUCAAAACACCAUAUGUAUUUUGUAUAUAUUACCAAUAAAUCUAUAAACUGACUGUCUUGAUCCAUCUACUUUGUUUUUUCCCUGUUCAAUGUGAAAUUACACAAUAUGGUAAUUUAGAUAAUUGUUAUGAAUUUGUAGUCUUAAAAUUAUAAAAGCACUAUAUAAUUAGCUCUAUUUAAAUCACUUCUAAUCACAUGUGCAAUGUGAAAUACUUAUUGAAGAAAACUCUGCUUUUCUCAACUACACUCAAUGUUUGUGAGUAAGGAAUGAAAUUGUUCUGUAAAUAUUUUGUAGAAUGACAUUACUCUACAUGUCGGGGGCGGGUUCUUCCGUUUUGCCUUGAGAUUUAACAUCAAGUAAAUGCCAAGCCAAGGUCACUAGUCACAAUAUAAAUCUGCUACACUGGGAACAGUAGGCCACAUCUUGACAAACAUGAUAUUGAAGCCUGGAAACCUGACAAAAUCGAGUUGCCAAAAGAUCAUAUGAUCCCAAAGCUUGGUUGUAAGUAAAUAAAAUAAAAUUAGUUUUUUAGUGUCUUGUUUGGCAUGCCAGACAUGCAUAUGACUAUAAUCAUACAAAGCUGUUCAUGUUGCCUCAGAAAACAAACAUGACUCCAGUUUUCACUGAUCUAUUAUAGUUCUUAACUUUUUUGCGGCAAAGAAAAUAAAAUCAAAUCAAGUAAAAUGCAAACGAUAUAUAUAUAUAUAUAUACAUAUAUAUAAAAUAUGAUGUGUUAAAAUGGAAAAUAUUUAUGAGCUGGUUUAACUUAAGCCUAGGUGUUAAUUUACAGAUAUUAAUACUGAGGUGGAAGCUUCCUUAUCUACUCCUCUCAAGUAUUUGCCUAGACUUUUAGACAAGUAUCUGACAAGUCAAUUAGCAUGAUAUCUCAUCUUCUGGAAAUUUGUGAUUAUUUUCUUACCCUCAAAUUAUAUCUUACUUCAUCCUAUUGCCUUAGUAAGUCAUUCGCAUAUGACUGGUAAUCUAUUUUUAAUAAUGAGUAAAAUAUAAAGUUUAUCUUCUGCUUGUCUCUUAUUUUAAGAAAUACUGGCUAUUACAAGUAGACAAUACACUAAUAUCAUUAGGGAUAAUGGCGGAUUCAACACCAGGCAAUGUGUUAAUUUUAGUUGGAAUAGACAAAUUCUCUAUUUUUUUUACGGCACAUGCUAUUUACUCUUUUUCCAUUUUUAUUCACCCUAUAAAGCUGUCAUAAAUAGACAGAACAAAAAUAGGAAGCUUUUACAGGUUUCUUUGUAUGCAUGCUUGUUUUCCUUAUUUUAUUCAUAAAUCAAUACAUUUUAAAGUCUGAUUUAAUAUUUUGUUGUAUUUAUCUGUAUCCUCUUAAACUCUGAGAAACAAAACAACUUAAUUUUUCCACAGCAAGUUUUCAAGUUGUAGAUUUUAAGUUCAAAGCACAUUUAUGAAAAAGGAUUGUGGCUGCUGUUACACACUGUGAUAAAAAUUCUUCUGUUUACUUUACCUAUUCAAUUUAUACUGACUUCCCAUACCAGAGGUGAGUAUGAAUUAAUGUCAGAUGCAUAUUUUAACAUUCUACCACCUUUCAACUUUGUUUAUAUAUUUAAAUACUAUAUUAUAUUGUUAAAUUCCUGAAGCUCAGACUACCUAAAACAAAUAAGAUCUGGAUAGAACCAAAGUUUUGGCAAUUUAUUUUAUAGGUAAUUCUAAAAGAUAGCCAAAUGUAUUCGUAUUCUGCAAUGUACACUAAGGAAAGUUGAAUUCAAUAGACUUGAAAUGGCUUGAGCAUUGUCUUUAGCUUAGAGGUAUGAUGUUCUUUGAGACCUUUGGAAAAUACUCUUUCUCAUUAGUGAGUCAACCUUCAUUGCAUUUGAUCUCAUAAGCUACCAGUGUAAAGCUCAGAGAGUUCAUUUCAAUUCCCACUAUGUAUUUUUUUUGGCAUACUCAUAUUUGGCAUACUCAGUACACAGGACAUGGUAAAGGCAAUGGAAUCUCAGAUUUUCUUUUCCAACUUCAGGGGUUCAAUGCACAUCUGUACUCCUGUUUUGUGUAGUCAUAACAUUUUACUAUAAAUUAAUAUUAUAAUAUUUCACUGUAAUUAAAGUUUAAAUUCAUAUUUAUAAAUUUUAAGAUAAUUGGAAUCUGUGAAUAAAUUCCUGAAAAGUAUAAAACAAUGUUUAAACCUAUGAUGCGAGUUGCAUUUGCUGCAUUAGUAUUUGUUUCAUUUAUGGGUUGAAUCACAUAAAUGUGUAUUAAAGAAAGAGUAUUUGAAUAGUUCAACUAAUGUAGUGAAAAUAUUCGAGCAAAGCAAUAGAUUAAACUCUUUACAUCACUAUAGUAUUUUGUUUGCUCAUUCGAUAGAAUGAAUGUGAGACUAGAUUCAAUGCAACCUAAAGAAAUAAACACCACAGACAUGUCAUCAAAAGCAAUUUUUAAACUCUUUCACAUAAAAAUAUUUGAGACUAUAUUUGUGCCAUUUUCAAGUAGUACUAAAAAUGAUAAUCUCUGAUUUUAAUCUAUCUGAUAAAAUAAACUUCAAUGGCAAAUAAGAGUUUCUGAAAAAUAAUGUGCUAAUGCAAAUAUCUAAAAAUCUAAAACAAACAAACAAACCAAAGACUAAGUAACCCAUUAUUCAAAGUGGAUCAUAGAUCGAAAUCUAAAAAGGUCAAAAUUGGGUAUUACCAGGAAGGAAGCCAAAAUAAUUCAAGUAAAUACUUAAGGCGCAAGAAAAAUCACUCAAUUUAAAGUUGGACAAUACAUGGAACUUAUAUUUGUACAAAUGGGACAUACAAGUGACAGUCUUCAGAGGGAUGACCAAGUUCAAAUCUUUUGGGGAGUUUUAAAUCAGACUACAUAAGACAGCAUGUGCAGAACAACUGAAUUUCAAAUGUCCAAGUCGUCAAUGGUGUUAAGCAUCAAGGUAAGUGAAACAACCUUUUGUAAGUUGUGAGUAUGUGAUGAUACAUUUAUAGAAAGAAAAAAACCUGUUUCUUAUAAAGGUCAAUAUAGAUAUGACAAAAGUCCAAAAAUCUAUUUUGUGUAUGUGGUCCAUGAGUUCUAAACAUAUGUCCAUAGGAAAGUGUGAAAUUAGGUCUUUAUAGUGUCAUUUCAAACAUGGUAAUAAUCUAGUAUCAGCAAAAUAUUGAGUGACUGACAGCGGGUUUAUUAUUAUCAUUAUUUUAUUCUUCUUUUAUACAUUACAUCAUAGCAAUAAGGCGCAUUCACUCCUACCACCCCUUCCCCAAUCUCUGUCUCACUCACAUCUACCCCUCUAUUUCUCUUGAAAAGAGAGCAGGACACCCAGGGAUAUCAAAGAUGUUAUAAAAAGCUACAAUGUGCCUGGGCACAUACUCUCAUCUCUAGGCUGAGAAAGGCAUCUCAGUAGAUUGAGGAGGAUCCCAAGAGCAGGCAAAAGAGUAAGGGAUACCUGUUCUCAUCCUUACUAAUAGGAACCCAACAAAAACACCAAGCUAUUCAACCAUAACAUAUAUGCAGAGGAUGGAGCUGAGACUUAUACAAGUCUUUGCAAACCCCAUGAGCCCUGUGUAGUUGACUCUUCAGCCUGUGUUUUCCUGGUGUUCUUGACCCAUCUGACUCCUACAUUCUUUUCUCCUCACCUUCUGUGGGUUUUUUCCCUAGCUUCACCUAGUGUUUGACAGUGGAUCUCUAGGGGGCUAUCCAGUCUCUGGUUCCUGGUCAUCCAGAAAGUAUCAGGCAUGGGAUCCCUCCCGUGGUUUGAGAAUCAAGUUGAACCACCCAUAGUUGGGUAAUCCCCCCACCCCAAUUUUCUGCCAUCAUUACCCAAGCAUAUCUUUUACAGACAGAACACUACUGUUGGUCUUUGUGACAAGGUUUUGCGGCAAAGUUAUGUCCCAUCUAAAGAGCUACAAAUAAAGAGGUGACUAUCAUAUUUCUUAAUUUGGGGAUUUUUUUAUAUCAUUUGGCUUAUUAUUUAAGAACCUGAUGGAUCUAGGGCAUACAUUUGAAAUAUGUAUGAAUAUGAAGAAAAUACAUAAAAAAACACUUGAAAUAAUUCGUAGUUAUUUCAAUGUGCUUACAGACAACAGAGAUCAUGAAGAUUUCUUCAUAUUAUCCACUCGAAUUAUACAUUUUAUAUACAUUACUAUCAGCCUAAAAUAUAUUAACAUACAACAUGAUAAUGUAUGUAUUAUUAUAUUCACAACUAUAUAUGUGCCCAAACAUCCAUGCAUUGUGAUGAUGAACAAUAUUGUUUUUACAGCUAAAAUUUUUACCUAAGUAAAGUUCUAUUAGAAAAUGACUUUAAGAUACAGUCUCCAUAGAGACACCGCCGUGGCAAGCGGGAGCAGGAUGGGCACUGUGUGACUCUGUGCAUCGCAGAAGAAAAUCAACUAAACAUGGGCAAAGGAGAUCCUAAGAAGCCGAGAGGCAAAAUGCUCUCAUAUGCAUUCUUUGUGCAAACCUGCCGGGAGGAGCACAAGAAGCAGCACUCGGAUGCUUCUGUCAACUUCUCGGAGUUCUCCAAGAAGUGCUCAGAGAGGUGGAAGACCAUGUCUGCUAAAGAAAAUAGGGAAAUUUGGGGGUUGGGGAUUUAGCUCAGUGGUAGAGCGCUUGUCUAGCAAGCGCAAGGCCCUGGGUUCGGUCCCCAGCUCCGUUAAAAAAAAAGUCAAAAAGAAAAUAGGAAUAUUUGAAGAUAUGACAAAGGCUGGCAAGGCUAGUUAUGAAAGAGAAAUGAAAACCUACCUCCCCCCGCAAAAGGAGAGACCAAAAAGAAGUUCAAGGAGCCCAUUGCACCCUAGAGGCUUCCUUUGGCCUUCUUGUUCUGUUCUGAGUACUGCCCAAAAAUAAAAGACGAGCAUCCUGGUUUAUCCAUUGGUGAUGUCACAAAGAAACUAGGAGAGACGUGGAGUAACACUGCUGUGAAUGACAAGCAGCCCUAUGAGAAGGAGGCCGCCAAGUUGAAGGAGAAGUGUGAGAAGGAUAUUGCUGCCUACAGAGCUAAAGGAAAACCUGAUGCAGCGAGAAAGGGGGUGGUCAAGGCUGAGAAGAGCAAGGAAAAGAAGGAAGAAAAAGACGAUGAGGAGGAUGAAGAGGAUGAGGAAGAGGAGGACGAGGGUGAAGAAGAAGAUGAUGACGAAUAAGUUGGUUCUAACUCAGUUUUUUUUCUUGUCUAUAAAGCAUUUAACGCCCCUGUACACAACUCGCUCCUUUUAAAGAAAACAAUUGAAAUGUAAGGCUGUGUAAAAUUUGUUUUUAAACUGUACAGUGUCUUUUUUUUUUUUUUUGUAUAGUUAACACACUACCGAAUGUGUCUUUAGAUAGUUUUGUCCUGGUGGUAUUUUCAAUAGCCACUAACUUUGCCCUGUACACUCUGGGGGUUGUAAAUUGGCAUGGAAAUUAAAGUACAUUCUUGUUGGUGCACAGCACAAAUUAGUUAUAUAUGGGGACAGUAGUUUGGGUUUUUUGUUUCUGUUUUUUUUUCUUUUGGUUUUCUUUUGGGUUUAUAUUUUCCAUAUUCAGUUGUCUCGGGGCUGGGGAUUUAGCUCAGUGGUAGAGCGCUUGCCUAGGAAGUGCAAGGCCCUGGGUUCGGUCCCCAGCUCCGGAAGAAAAAAAAAAAAGAAGAAGAACUUCAGUUGUCUCUGAUGCAGCUUAUACGAAGAUAAUUGUUGUUCUGUUUAUUGAAUACUACUCUGUAGUUGCAAAAUAAUUGCGGCUGUUUUUGUUGACAUUUUGAAUAUUUCUAAGUAAAUAAAAAUUUUUUAUUAAAAAAAAGAAAGUGACCUUAAACAAAUACAAACUGUUACUCAGAGAUACGGUAAUAAAUGUUACUGACUUACUUCCAUGAUUAAUGUCGGCAUAGACUGAAACAACUAACAUGGUAAAGAUAAGUGGCAAUGAUUUUCACAUUAAAAUUGUCUCAAGACUCCCCAGUAUAGAGAAAAGCAAUGCAUUUAGAAGUUAUUUCAUCACUAAGUUGUUUAAAAGUGGCAGGUCAUAAUUGAAAAUUACAGCUGGUCUUAAAAAUUCUAGAAGACAUCCUGAAUUCCAUAUAUCCCUAGUUAGUGGUGUUUCAUAGCAAGAGAGACUCCUCUCUGUAAUUUUGCAUUAUGAUAUACGAAAUACAAAUAAAAACAGUAUAUCAUCUGUGUAUAAUUGCAAUAAAUGUCUAAUUAAAUACUUCUGUAAAACCUUUAUGUGGCAUGUGCAUGUGUGUUUUAAAAGCUGAACAUAGUGAAGUUUUGCUAAUUUUUUUCAUCUUUAUUAACUUGGAUAUUUCUUAUUUACAUUUCAAUUGUUAUUCCCUUUCCUGGUUUCCCGGCCAACAUCCCCCUAACCCCUCCCCCUCCCCUUCUCUACGGGUGUUCCCCUCCCCAUCCCCCCCAUUACCACCCUCCCCCCAACAAUCACAUUCACUGAGGGUUCAGUCUUGGCAGAACCAAUGGCUUCCCCUUUCACUGGUGCUCUUACUAGGCUAUUCAUUGCUACCUAUGAGGUUGGAGAGAAUUUUUUACUUGAAAUUCAUUGUAACAAUCAAAACAAUGGCAUUGGACACGUGGAAAACAGGUGCUAAUAAAGAAUGAAGAGAAAUAAUUACUUUGACUAUGGACAUUUAGGUUUUGGCACAGUUCAUAAAGUUUCUUUAACAAUAAAUGCAAAACUUUUAUUUCCGGUAUAUAUGCAUAUAUCAUAAUUAAAGCAAUUUUAUAUUCAUACAAUAUAUAUAUAUAUAUUAUAUAUGAGACAUAUAACACAAAGCAAUUGCAUAUUUAUACAAUAUAUAUUAUAUGUGAGACAUACAUAACACAGUUAAAGCAAUUGUAUACACACACAUAUAUAUAAUUAAAACAAUUGCUUUUUUAAGAGAGGAUCUUUCUCUUUUAACUUUGAGUUUUCCUUUUAAGAAAAGAAACAAAGAUAGUAAAAGAGCUACUUAGAGGCAUGGAACAACAGAUGCCUCUUAUAUGUGGCUUUAUUGUCUUUUUACAGAAUGCAUUAUUAAUUUUUAUUAAUCAUCAUUUUAAAAAAGAGAAUCUAGACAUUUUAGGGCAGAAUAUUAACAUUUUACAUUUUCUCUUGCUGCAUUUUCUCAUAAAUGGUACAAUUUUUUCUUUAGAAAAUCCUUUUAUUCCAAUUUGCCCUCAUAAGUCACAUCAAGUCUGGAGCCAACAAAGAUGGAUGGUUUUCAAUUCUUUUCUAAUGAACCAUUUCUGAAAAUGUCUGGGUCAUUUUUGUUUUUGUUUAUAUGAUAGAUUUUUUCACUUUGCUUAAAGUUAACAAUUUUAGGACCUUUCCUAAACACAUUCCAUCUUUUAAAGCAAACAUUAAAGAAGAUUCAACCACAAUAUUUUUAUAAGAUACCAGUAGCACUUAAAUUUGUUUUACUGAAAUUUACUUUUAAUUUUAAAUCAGCGAAUACCAUUAACUUGUAUUUACGCUAUGAUACAUUCUAAAAGGAGGUAGUUUUAUUUAUUUUUGUACAUGUCUAACUAAUAAAAUAAUACUUUAAUAUGUUCCUAUACAUUUUCAUUUAGAAUUUAAGAUAUUUAAUGUAUGCUUGUACUAUGAAUAAAAAUUGGGAUAAUAUGGUGUAAGAAAUAUUUGUUUCUCCACUCUAAAUGUAUCUCAGAAUUUUGUUGUGUCCUUCCAAAAUGAUCUUAAAGUUUUACUAUAAAAUAUCUCAGAGUAUGACCAAAAUAGAAAAAUAUAACACAUACUGAAACAGAGUUAAAACCAGUAAAUCCUAAGGGAUGACUGUAGUUAUAACCACCAAUGUUGUGUAACUAGAAUACAAGACAGUCCAGAAGGAAAAGUAGCGAUGAAGAGAUUGAAUCAUUGCCUUCCAGAUUUAAUCAAUAAGCACUCUAUUCAUGUAUAAUAAUACUACAUUACUUUCUGUCAAUAAAUAUAAUAAUUAAUUUAAUUUAGAUAUUAGAAUGUUUAAGGAAAUGCACAUUAAACAUCUUGACUUAGUCAUGAAUCAUUGAUUACAUAUAUACAUUAUCACACUAUGAUUUGUAUAAUCAAAUAAUUAAAAUAACACCUAAUAAAAUAUUUUAAGACAAAAGCUUUUUAUUUAAAAUGCCAAUUUUUUUAAAAUCUCUUUUAUUCCCCUGUUCAUCGUCUCACCCAGACACAACCAGUAGACUCCAUGCUGCUCAAAGUGCAGCUCAAGAAAUGAUCCAGUGGGUACAGGAUGACAGAACUAUUUUCAGUUUUCUGUAUGUAGUCAAAAAUACCCCAUCCUAGAGAGAACCUAGAUUCACUCCAGCAAGCAGGCGAGGGGCCUCAUAAAAGAAAGCUACAGUAGAUAUCACAGGAGAGUUCCCUUGGCAAAUUAGGAGGGAUAAAACAAGCAAAAACAAAACAACAAAACCUCAAUACCUUCCAAAGCAAAACAAAACAGAACAAAAGCAGAUCAAAAUUGUAUAACCAUUAUAGAAGGUUGGAAAAGGAAGGUGUUCCACCAACCGAACUGAUUAGUUAAUAAACAUUGAAUUUCAGGCUAGAGUGUGCCAUCUCCACCCGCCCCUCCUGCCUCUUUGUGAAACUAUUUUAUUACUCACAUGGUACAAUAAUGUAGUUUUGGGAAUUAAAUUUAUGUUCAACUCAUUUACUCCGUACCAAACUUUCUCCAUAUAGUAAGUAUUUUCAUAGUACUUGUUUUACAUAUAGCUGGUAAAGGCUUCAUAAUUUUUCCAUCUUUUAAAAGGCACGCAGAAUUAAACAACAGUAACAUACAAACUAACACAAACACAUUCUUUUCAUUGUUUGAUUCCUUUAUAUUUUUUAUUGGGUAUUUAUUUACUUACAUUUCAAAUGGUAUCCCUUUUCCCGAUUUCCCCUCUGGAAAUCCCCAUCCUAUCGCCCCUCCUCCUCCUUCUAUGAGGGUGCUUCCCCACCCAUCCACCCACUCCUGCAUCCCAGCCCUGGCAUUUUCCUACACUGGGCAUCAAGCCUUCCCAGACCCGAGGGACUCUCCUCCCUUUGAUGUCCAACAAGGCCAUCCUCUGCUCCAUAUGCUGUUGGCGUCAUGUCUCCCUCCGUGGGUACUCUUUGACUGCUGGUUUAGUCCCUGGAACUCAGGAGGGGUAGGGACGUGGGAGGGCAGGGUUCUGGUUGUUUGAUUUUUUUGUUCUUCCUAUGGGUUGAAAUAAAAUUGUAUCAGCUACAAUCUUUGUGCAGACUAACCAUGGUAAUACACACACAUUUACAGCUUGGCUGGUUAUUGUAAUGGUGGCACAUUGUGUGAAGCCUCGGCAUUGAAACAUUUAAGUAGAAACCCAAAGUGGAAGACCAACACUUGGGAGUUUUACUAAAGGAGAAAGCUAAAGGGCAGGUGGCUCAGCAAUUGUCCCUGUGGCGUCUUUUAGGGCAUCUAUCAUGUGAAGUCAGAGGAUGGGAAAGGAGAGAAGAGCAGGGAAGUAAACCCAGGCUGAUUCUUAGAAGCAGCAGGUAAGAGACACGUUCAAGUAUUUCUCUCAACACAACCUGAGUUCAUACAGAAGACACUCAGAGGAGUUGGAAGCAGUGACAGGGGCUAAAAUACAGUGCUCGUCUUAUCCAAUCCCCUGUGUUUAAUCUGUUUAUCUUUGUGACCAUAGUCCCCAUGGUAACUAAAGUUCCAAGUCAGGAUUCUGACACACACCACCCCACCUCCAUCUCUACCCCUGGAUUCUGAGGAGGCUAAUAAUAGAUACUUUGAGAUCAUCUGUGGGGACAGUAGGUGCCCUGUGGCACUUAGACUCUCUUUUUCCUGUGGGAGUCAGCUUCACCUGCAGUCUGGAAUGAAUUAUGAUGACUGUUCCUCCAUCCAGACGGUUCCUGCUGGAAGCUAAAAACAGAACCUCUCCCUUUCUGGGGAGUCUGAGAAAAAGGCUGCUUCAGCCUAGGAUUUGUUCUAGGCUGGGCAGAUGUAUGUGGGUAGUUGCCUAUGGCAAGAGGGCGUUCUGCAUCCAUGGACGUCUCUAUUUCUUUAAAGAAUAGCUGAUUUGACAUUCUCAGAGUUCGUCACCAUCUAAUGAGAUCCUUUUCCUGAAGAUCAUUUGGACCUGGGUGACUUCGUCAUUCUCAAAGGAACAAACUCAACUCUGCAGACCAUUUCACAGAAUCCUCAGAGACCAGAUUGCUGCCGACCUGCCAUGGUGGCGUGGUAGCUGAUUCGUUUGGAGAUUCUCCCACUAGGGCUCCAUGAAACUAUGUGUAGACCUUGCCCUAGAGCAGUGCUCCACCCCGGACCCAAAUUGAUGAAUUCGAGCUCGUAGAAGUUCGUUCUGUUUUUUAAAAGAAAAAAAUUACAAAAGCGCUAAUUAAAGUGGAUUUAUUUUGGUGGGACAUAAUGCCUGAUCUUUGGGGAAAUCUGAGUCCAAUGAGAAAUGCAUGCAGGUGUCUGUAAGCCAAGACUGAAAGGGGCACGAUGAGCCUGUAGCGAGGGGAAGCCAAAGGCUGUGCCUGAAUCAGUGCAGUGUUGUCACUGAGGGGGCAGGAACACAGCAACAGUCCUCAGAAAAUAUCAUGGUGCCUGAUUAAAUGCCUUUCCUUCCUUCUUACUUUUAACCUAGCCUUAGUGAAUUCAGAACGUACAUUUAAUCAUUCAAAACAUAUAUUUUAUUUUAAAUUAGCUUCCACUGAUUCACUAAUAUAAAACACGUGCGAACAAUAUCAUAGGAGACACAACAUACAAGGCAAAAUGGCACAUCCCUUAUUUUUCUUUUCAGCCGGGCGCACUGGAAUUAAGAUAAUUAUUUAAUCAUCUACAUCGUCUUUAUAAAUGAGACAGCGUUUGGCAGCUCUCUUAUUUUGGAGCUUGAAAGACACCAUUUCGUGCCCUCGUGUGGUGCCAAGUUUCUCUUGAAAAGGAUGCUGUUAUUUUCAUGAGUUUUGUUCUCAUAAGAAAUGGGUCACCUCUGUCUUACAGCAUUCAGUGUUGUUUUCUAUAGUUACACACUUAACUACUGUCUAGUAAAGGUAAUUAAUUUCUCCUCAUGAAUGCAUAGGGUAGAAAUGCCUUCUCUUACCGGAGUUCUACGGCAUUCUUAACAUAUGAAAAAUGUUGUAAUAUUUAACAAAAUAUACUUUAUUGUUUUAUCCUGAUCUCCUUCCUCUCCACCUAUUAUCCCAGACUUUAUUAUCAUGCACACAGCUUGAUCUUCUUGGUUAUUUUCAUAGUUUUCUAAACUACUGAUUGAACAUGAUGCUUCAAGGGCUUGUCUUCAUUCUCUGAAACUCAGUUUUUUUCACAUUUAUAGUUAAAACCAUCAAGGUUUUUUUUUCAUCUUUAUUAACUUGAGUAUUUCUUAUUUACAUUUAGAUUGUUAUUCCCCUUCCCGGUUUCCAGGCCAACAUCCCCCUAACUCCUCCCCCUUCCCUUCUCUAUGGGUGUUCCCCUCCCCACACUCCUCAAGAGUUUUUAAAAAUGGCCUUUUCAGUUCUAUAUUUUCAUAAUAUCUAUUAGUCAUUUUAAAUAUUUCUAUCUUAAUGUCUCAAUACUCUGUACAGUCUUCCUUCUUCCUUCAAGUACGUUAUUGAGUCGUAUUAGGUAUUUCAUCUACAUCAACAACUUUAAUGUUCUCUAGUAGGGAUUUAUAAAUAUCAGGUUCAGCCCAUACUGCCAUGUGUAUUCAUGUUUUUGUAUUUAUAUAGUAGACAUUUCCCGUCAUAGAACAUGAUUGGGACUAUAUUGGGGAUAAUUUUUCAUGAAAACAACUCUGGCCUGCUGACUGACUUUGUAUUAAUUUUAUUCAAAUGUUUGUACAAUAUUUUAUGUGGUUGGUCAUGGAUGUCUCUGCAUACUGUAGUGAAAACUGGGGGAGGGAUUGUAUCUUUCUUAUUUGAGAGGUUCUUUCUCUAAAGGACAUUCAUUAGUAGUGUCACUCUGAUAGCGCCAGCAAUUUUGGUGCUGACAGCAGAGUAUCAGACUCAUAUUCUCAGUGCUUACUCCUCUAGACUCUUCAGCACUCAGUUUUGUGAGUUUAGGGGUGAGAUAGGGUUACCUUAAUUGUUGUUAUUAUUCAUUAUUCGGCGGUCUUCCUGAGGAUUUCUAUUGCUGUGACAAAAUACCAUGACAAAAAGAAAAAAAAAACAGCUUGGGAAAGAAAGAUUUAUUUCUGCCUACAAUUCUGAGAUCACACUGCAUUGCUGAAUAAGUCAAUGCAGAAACCAUGGAUAAGCGUUGUUUGUGGGCUUGCUUUCACAUGGCUUGCUCACUUGAUUUCGUAUAUUCCUAAGACCAUGUGCUCAAGGUUGACACCACCUACAACAGGCUGGAUCCUCCCACUGCAACACUGACUGAGAAAAUACAGCACACACUCUUACUUGGUGGUUGCAAAACUUAGGAGACAAUUUUUUUUUUUAGAGGAAAAUUCCUUUCCCCAAGAAACUCAAAUUUUGAUCAAGAUGACAAUAAAUUAGCCAACACAAGGAUAUGCUAUCUGAAUCAGAUCAAUUGGGCAAGAAAUCUAAUUAAAAUGGGUAUAUUUAGAAAAAUAAUCACAAUUAUACUGUGUAUGAGUCACAGUUCUCUAGAGGAAAAAAGGAGAAAAUGAGUAUGUGUCAAUAGGAUUUAUUAGCUUGAUUUACAUGGCAUUCUCUAGAUUGCUUAGGAAGUUUCUUUCCUUUAUCUCUUUUUGUCCGGAUUGUCACGUGAAGGUGUCUUCAUGCCAUUGUUUGAAGGUGUCAUUAUUUGAAGGGUUUUCCUACUUCAAAUAAUUUGAUCAAGAAAAUUACUCAUAAAAAUUCCCCAUAGCUUUCCAUUCGAUUGGCUGUACAUUUAGUCAUAACACAACCAAGAUUUAUUAUUACAUAUGAAUCAGCAAAACUAUAACCAAGUAUUAACAAUCUGUGAAGACUCUACCUCAAACAUUUAGGUCUUAAAGUUUUAUCAAAGAUACUGUAUAUAAAAUCAGCAUACAACAUAAGUAGGGCUUCUCUCCACCAAUAAUGAACACUGACUGGAAGAUAUCAGGAAGGCAAUCUCAUUUAAAAUAUCUCAUUCAGAAAUAUCCAAAAAUAAACUAGAGAAAAUACCUCUCCGGUAUAAUCCAAAGAUAGACACACAGGAGAUUAGAAACUGAAGAAGAUGCUAGGUAAUAGAAGGAAAUACAUUAGCAGAAUAUUGUUAAAAUGGAAAUAUUAUAAAGUGAUUCACAGAUUCAAGGAAGUCUCCAUUAAG